AGUUUCACUACGUGCAGAUUAGAGAAAAAGAAGUCGCAAGGACUUACCUCAUACAGGGCAGUGGUUGGCUCCCAAGGAGCAAAUACACCUUGAAGAACCACUCCAUCAGGAAAUUGGAUGCGAACUAUAGUCCUGGUGUAUUUCUUCCGGGCAGCUUUGGCCUGCUUUUCCCUAAAUGACCUGGGAAUCAGAAGCUGGGAUUCAGCGAGCUUCUUCUUUCUCAUAUCUGCUUCGCUUUUUAGCUCGAUGGCGGACAGAUUGUAGAACGAGUCUGGCACCUCAAUUUUUGAUGCUACGUUUUCAGAAACAGCAAAGAACACCUUGAUCUGGUUCAAUGGGAAAAGAACAAAAGUAGGUUGAAUGAACUACAUAAGAAAAUGACAGAUGCAGCAUGAUGAAAGCAUAGUAUACAAAGAUAAAGUGCAACACAAUCAGCCAUUGGAUAAAUGAUGCUAUAAAGAGCAAAAUCACUAAAGAAGAUUCACUGAACAGGUGAUAGUUUCAAACAUAAAAGAAAUACAAGCAUAGCUAGCAACCCAUACUUCUAUUUAACGCUUUGGACAGGUGCUGUCUAGUAAUUAGGAAUCACAUCAAUACUUAGGAAAAUUCAUUCUCAAAUGUGGAAUCUCAUGAGCAGGUGAAAUGAAUGAAGCAAGAACUUCAAGCAUUUCAGUGGUACAUUAAAGUCAUAUCAUUAUUUGAUCCUUACCUUUACCAAAUGUUAAAAUCAAUAUCACCAUAACAUUAAACCAAGAUAUUCAACCAUUUCGAAAUGCAGAGUGUUAAAGUAAUUGCCAGGUCGUAUAAAUAUUAAAAGCCUACCAGAAACCAGUAUCAGACAUCAUAAAUCCAGUGAUGAACACACAUCAUUUAUCAACAAGAUAUCUAUAUAGGCAAUUGUACCUGUCUGUAAUCUUCUUUCGCUCAUUAAACCAAGAUAUUCAACCAUUUCGAAAUGCAGAGUGUUAAAGUAAUUUCCAGGUAGCAUAAAUAUUAAAAUCCUACCAGAAACCAGUAUCAGACAUCAUAAAUCCAGUGAUGAACACACAUCAUUUAUCAACAGGAUAUCUACAUAGGCAAUUGUACCUGUCUGUCAAUCUUCUUUCGCUCAGCCGGCUGAUCUUCCUCCACUGGAACUACAGAUGCUUUUAUAUUCUCUACCUUCCUAGGUUCCAGGAAUCCUAUCACCUUACUGAUCAAACCAAUCCUUUCUUUCCCAGGAACAUCUUCCAUCAGAGCCCACAUCUCUCCACCUUCUUCCUUGAGCUCAAACCCGGCAAGCUCCAACAACUCUACCCCUCCAGCAACAUCAGUCACUGCUUCCCUAAUCUUAGGGUUCCCCAUUCUGACUCUCCUAAACUUGACAUUCUCAGGGUCCUUAACAAUGUUCCUAAAUAAUCUCAGCACAACCUCCACAGAACCCUCCGGCGGCUUCCCAGACAAAUAGGCAGCAACAGAGCUCUCAUCCAAAAAACUUGCUUCUUCAUCAAUUUUACCAUCAGAAACAGCAUUGAUGUUGUCAUCACCACCGCCGGAAGUGACAUCAACAACUCUGACACCUUCAGUCACGCAGCUCUCGACGUGAGCAGAUACAUCCUCCUCCGAUCUAUAGGCUUGCCCACAAAUCGGGCAUUCAAACACAUUCAGUGAAUAUCCAUUCUUGGAUCUUUCACUGCUCGUUAUCAAAGGACCAAAAGCGUCGAACCCAUUAGCGGGCUUGGGAAUUGGGGCUGAGGAAGAAGUCGGAGCUGAUCUCUUCGGAGGCGACGGUUUGGAAUUGGAAUUAGAAGAAGGGUUGGAAGUGGGUUUCGGAUUAACAGGUUGAGAAAAACGAGCGUAGACUGAAUUAGAAGAAUCGGAGGAGGAAGAAGAAGAAGAAGAAUUAGUGCCAAGAACUCGACCUUGGCCUUUGAAUUUACCGGAGGAGGAGGAAGAUGACAACUGGGUAUUCACUUUCUUCACGAAUCCCUUGAACUUGUCUUUCAUAUCAUCCAUUUUUUUUUUCUUCUAAUCGAAAGAAUCAAAGAGAUUUACGGGAGUGAUGAACGGCGAUAUCGAGAAACAAUUAGGCGAUUUGUGACUUAUCGUCGGCCUUGGGCAGCAAGCAAGUCUUCCCUCAGCUGAGGAACGGAGGAAAUUAACAACAGGAGAUGCCGGAGAAAAGCAUUAAAGCAAGGAAGAAAGAAAGGGGUCAAAAGCAUAAUCGGUCACUUAUAUUUGAAAUAGAUGACAGAGCAGUCAUCUAAGUAUUAAGAAAUCACGAUGAUAGAAAGCUGGUGAAUACUGAAUAGAACGAAAUUAGUAAAAUUAUUUUUUAGUUUUUUUUUUCAAUUUUCACACCUGCAAAAGAACUGCCUCAGGUUUGGAAUUUUUAUCUAUUAACGAAAUACAAUUAUUUUAUGAUUUUAAACUGGUUAAAAUUGAAGCAUUUUUUAAUUAUUAUUUGAUGUCUUUUAAGUGCCAUAAUAUAUUCAGAAUAAAAAAAUAUUACUAUUUAUUUUAUAUCGACAUAAAAAAAUAUAAAUUAAAUUUUGUAUUUACAAACUAAACGUAAUUUAACUUAUAACUAAAAAAGGAUGUUGUAAUUUGUUUUUCUCCAUCACAUUUAAUUGAUGUUGGAAGAUGUUUUAGAAAACCGUAUAAAGUAACUAAUAAGAUUAACAACUUAAUACUCAAAUGUUAUAAUUAUUUGUUAAACAAUGAAAAAGUUCAUUAGUCCAUUAGAACAAACUACUAUAGUCCAUCAGAAAGAUUUUGUAACUAAUUUGGAUAUGACAUGUUCAAUUUACAAUUUAGGUAAAGAUGAAUGGCAGCAUUAUUUUGGUAUGUUGUCAAUUGCGAAAUGAUUGCAUUGCUACAUUUGGAAGUUAGCUUAUCAUUCCAAUAUAUAUUGCAAAGUUAGAUGACCGAUAAUGUUUUUUUAUCCAAGAAGAGUUUAAUGUUCCAGAAAUGUAGGAACUUAUUUGUGAAAUACAACAAAAGAAGGAUCGAUAAUACCAUUGUCUGAGAUAUUAAUGAUUGCAAUAGUAAUUUGACGUGGCCUUAACCCUUCUAUUGCUCCUCCAAAACCCCAGAAUUUCCCCAUUAGCAAACGAAGGGUAAUGAUUCAUCAGUUCAACAAGGAUGGGGAGAAAGGAGAAAGAGCAGCUCAAUCAAGUGCUAAAUUCGCACCUUAACACCAUCCACGACACCUUACAGGUUCUUCCUUCUUUCCCCGAAUCGAAUUUUUUUAGGCUAAAGUGCGGAUGUGAUUUUCUGAUUCUAAAUUCCUCAUUUUUCACAGGUUUUGGAUCAAACACCAGCUUCGUCUUUGGAAAAAGUUAGCUGGGAUGACGUUCUGAAAAUGGGAGAUCAAGUCUACAGGCAAGCUACUAUUGGUACUUUCCAUGCAUUUCUUCAUUCCCUUUUUGUUGAUUCUAUUCUGUUGAAGUUUACGGCUUCAAUUAGUUAUCUUUUCUUCUAUUGCAAUCUGAUUUAUGUUCUUAAGGUUUUCUAUGUUCUCAUUUAUAGUCUGAAAGGGGAGAUAACUAUCGUCUAUCGGUGAUACUUGACAGAAUAGUGAUUCCUCUUCAUUAUCGUUUGGGUUGUUAGGUAGCUUUCAUUCUAGUUUACUUUGCAGCGACUAAUCAGUUGGAAUGCAGUAACCGAACCGAUGAAUGUUUCUAUGACUAUAUAUGUAUGUAGUUGGGAUGCUUUGGACGGGAGAAAGGCUCGAAGAUAAAGCGAUUGAGGAGAACAUGGCGACUUAUUUCAAUACGCUGCAAGGGUUCCUUCUACUUUCUCAUGGAAGUAGAGUUGGAGCAGGGGCUACUCUUUCGACGAGUAUCUAUGCAUCUGCAAAGCAAGUUGUUGAUUGCAGUUUUAAGUUGAUGAGUGAGACUGUUGCUUCAUAUGGUAAUGAUCACUCACUCCUCUCUCUCUCUCUUGAUAAAUUCCGACAUGUGGUCCAACAGUAUAGCGAAUUUAUCAAUUUAUAUGCUCACAUGUUCUUAGCUCAAGUAGUAAAAUGUUUGUGUAGUACAACAGAAUAUGUGGGAGCUGUAUUCGUAUCCGGCUAGUUAAAGGCUUAUCUUUUUUCUAGUCUAACUCGAUUGUGCUAAUGAUGUAACAUAUGCUAGAAUUUAUAGUGAACUUUAUCACAAAGAUAGACAAUGAUGACUGAGACUUGAACAAGUCAAGAAUGCUUACUGGUAGUUCCGUUAGGAAUAAUUCCUGUUCAAUUUAGUUCAAAGGAUGUGUUACAAAUUAUCUUUCAAGAAGUCAGUCUUCCAGAAUACCGAUGUUAGAAUAUUUGGCAAACUGAGGUUUCCUCUUUAACUUGAAUGAACUUAUGUCUCCAUGAGGUCCUAUGGCAUGUUUUCAUGGUUCAAUUGGAUUAUAUUCUGGUUAGUCAUGAUUUGGUCAUAGAUCAAUUAAGCCAAUGAUUCUUUCAAACGUGUGAUCUAUAGGUCUUUGCAAUAUUUUCCUGACCUGUGAAAUCGGAAACUUGCAGGAUCCCGUAACAAAGACCUGAAGCUAUUAGUACCACAGCUGGUUGGUGCAGUAUGGGAAGCAUGUACUGCGGUGAAGAAGACACCUUCAACUAAUACUACAGCUAUUGGCCGAGCAAUGACAAGAGUUGCAGUUUCAAUGAAAGAUGUUCUCCGCGAGAUGAAUGAACUAAAGCCCGAGUCUCCAGAUCCCACUGUCUCUGAUGGUGCAGUUGCUGAAGGUGGUACCUUCAGUGACGACGAUGAUCUUGGUAACGACUUGUCACCUGAAGACAUGAAAGUUGCUGAAUUGGCAACUGAGGUCGUGUCUCAGGCCCUUGUAUUCAUAAAGGAACUAGUCCGCACCAUCUCUGGAUUGAUUAAGCUGGAAAAACCUAACGACAGUGGCAGCUUUGUGGAUACAUUAGAAAAGUUACUAAAACUGUGCCAGGGGAUCGGAGAGCAGAUUGAUGAAUUGGGAGCCUGUCUUUACCCUCCACAGGAGUUCCCCGCCAUGAAGACUGCUUUGGAUAAGAUAUCGAACAAGGUUGACGAAGCGAGGAUAUGCGUGGAAAGUUUGAACUGCUCUGCAGAAUCUUUCUUCCAGGGAUGUACUAGUUUGAAGAGUUCAAUAAAACUAAUGGAGACAGAACUAGAUUUCUCCAUGACCACUGAUUUAGGUGAUAGAUUGCAGAAUGUCAGUUUGAACCAGUAAAAGUAAGAUUCCUCAGCCCAUCAUCUUACAGGAGUGAAGAUGUGAUUUUUUUUGGAGUGAGGAGUGUUGCCAGAGUACGUGUUCCUGAAUUUUCUUUUGUAGCUCGACAGAUUAAGGUCCUCGUAUUUGAGUGCUUUCAUGAUGUUGCCUUAAUCCUUUGAAGAUUUGCUUAUAAUUUCAUGACAUAAAAUGUUAAUUAGCCUCAUUUGAAUGGUAAAUUUGUAAAAUUUACAUCCCAAUCAUAUCGUAAUAAACUCUCAAUUCUCAGAUUAUCUCUGUAACUAUCCCUCAACUCAACAAUGAAAAGUUGGAGAAUUAUUAUUGAACACUCACUCUUGUCAAUAAACUUAACCCAAAGAAUCAAACCGAAUUACAAACACAAAAAAAACUCAAAUCAACUUAAAAAAUUUAGAUGGUCCUUUUAAUUUAGCACUUGGGAAGGUCAGCUGGUGGGGAGAGCAGCUUCUGGCUAGGGAGCUUUCCAUCCAAAACAAUCCAUGCCAUCUUGAGACCCCAACUUGUAUGAACUUCUAAAUGGCAAUGCAUGAACCACACUCCCGGGUUGUCAGCCAGGAACCGAAUCGCAACCCACCCACCGGGCGGCACUCCGACAGUGUUCCUCUCAACAGGGUCAACAAGAUUGAACUUUGCAGGAUCUUUAACAUGGUCGCAGUUUCCGAAACCCUGACCGACGACAAAGAAGUUGAAUCCAUGCAAAUGAAGAGGAUGGCUCUCAGCACCAAGAAUGCUCGUGUCCUGCAUUAUCAGCUCCACGCUUGUAUUGAAAGGUAACACCACUAGCUUCGUGCCGUUUCCUACCAUUGUAUUGUUUGGUGGGUUUCCUGUGUAGUUGAAAGGAAUCAAAGGGCUGAUGGGGAAGUAAGGAGAAUACACGGAAUGUGAUUGACUGGUGUAAUGUGCGUGGAGCAAAGCCGUGGUUGGCAUUGCGAACGAAACAUUGUUGACCGAUGCUGCAAACAUCGUUCCGUUGGGUCCCUGGCAGGUUCUGUUCUUCGGGCAAGGGUUGGUUCCUAACCCAACUGUAAAGAAGAACUGCCUAUCCACCUGUUGUGGAACAUUGGCUGGGAACUGUUUGGUUCCCAGACUGCGAAGCUUGUCGGUGAAGUUUGUGGCAAAGGCAGUGUCGUUGAGAGCCGGUAAGGUUGGUUUGAAGACUGGGAGACUUUUCAUAGAAGAAGGGGAUUCAUCAUCAUAUUCCAUGAUUCCAGCAACUGUCGAGUUGUCGAAAGUGCCUUGGCCAGUCGCGUACGGGGAAGCCAACAUGAGAAAUGUGGCGUCAGGGUGAUGCGGCUUGGCUUUCAGCAGAACAUUCGUGGUUUGUCCUGGAGCUAUGAGGAUGACGUCUGUGUUGAAUGGCUUCACGUAAACUGCAUCGGCUUCGACCACUGUGAGGGUGUGGUUUGCAAUGCUGAAGAAGAGCUCAUCGUUCAGGGCAGCGUUGAUUAGGCGCAACAUGUACGUCUUUCCUGGCUUCACCUUCAGCUUGAAUGUGUCUGCUAGUAUUAAGUUAGUUCGACAUCAGACUCAUAAAAAACAAAGUAAAUUGGACUACAACAAAGCCGUAUAAAAUUCUUACACUAAGUAUGAUAAGAGCCAUGGAAAAGAGUUUGCAAGUGGCCUAAAUCACAACUCAUAAUAGUUGAAAACGGUAACUCUGUUAUUACCUUUGGCAGAGCAGUUAUAUAAAGGUCCUGGGAGUCCAUUAAUGGUGUAUGCAUUGGAGACAUUCGGACCUCCACCGGUUUGCAUGGCCUGGUUGAUGAUUGCUUCAGUAGCUGCAUUAAACCACUCCCCUGCAGAGGAAAGCAAGGAUUGAUCAAACAAUGUUGACAUAGAAAAGAGAUCAAUGUAUGUGAAUUAAGUAUAUUUAAUUUGUACCAAAGACUAUGGGAACUUCUUUGUAAGGUUUCUUGAAAGGGUAAGGGACACCAAGCUUUGGGAGGAUGAUGAGGGGACCAUAAACAGUUGAUCUGAGCCACGAGAUGUGUGCAUGCCACCAAAGGGUGCCUCUUUGGCCUACUAUCGUGUAGUUGUAAACAUAGCUUUGCCCUGUCUGAACAGGACACUGGGUUAUGUACGCAGGCCCGUCUGCCCACCCGCUUCUAAGCUGUCGGAUCCCAUGCCAGUGGAUCGAGAUAUUGUUACUGACAUGAUUGACCACUUUGAUAAGAAGCCGAUCGCCUUCCCUGGCCACGAUCCUAGGCCCCGGAAACUGUCCAUUCACGGUCACCAUGGUCUUCGUGUGGCACAGCCGCGUCACAUUUUGUUGCAUUACAUCGAGCUUAUAGUGCCUUGUGGCGGCAUGUCCUGACUCGGCAAAUGCAAGCAAACAUAUCACUGCUAGGAACAACAUUGCUAUUCUGGUUAGAGAGAAAUAGGUUGGUGAUUGAGAGGGUAUGAGAAAAUGUGAUGAGUGGUGGAGGGAAAUGUGGAUUGUGUUUAUAUAGCUAAGGGAGCUAGCUUCAAGAAGAACAUCUUAUGGUUGGAAAUGUGAUAUCACCAAAUAAAUAAAACACAGUAUUGUAGAGUAGAAGAAGAGGGAAAAGAGAGAUUAAGCAAGCUUUCAUUCAUGGGGUGAUAUUGCAUAUAUACAUCAGUUAGUUCCAAGUAUGUUAGGAAGGAACAUACAACUGUAUAUAGAGUGAAGUGGAAGUCAAUUUAUGGUGCUUGACCAGAGUUUUGCAUGCUAAUUGCUGUGAUCAGAGUUUCGAUGAUUUCUUAAUUUGUAAAAAUCAGAGUUAGAAAGAUUGGGUGCGAGUUGUGUUAUGUUUAGGGUUAAGCAGUAUCACUGUCAGGAUCGGAUGAAGAGGGAAGAAGAGAAUGGCCAAAAGCUAUUCCCCUUUAAGCAAUAAGCUGUAUUGAUACUGUCUUUCUACCAGCUACUUCCACUUUCCUACAAAGCUAGCUUUUAUCUAUCUUUCCAAACAAUUCUUAAAGUUACCUAGAACACUUGUGUAUUUAUUUCAUGUUUCCUAAUCUAUCCAAUGGAAAAAUAAACUUUUUUAAAAAUCUCUUACAUCCUUUAAUUUUACAUUCUGUUCAUAAUCCCUUCCAACCUCAACUUAAAUUUGAAAUACCAUUAAUAAUUAAACACUUAUAUUUUUAUGUAGAAUAGUCCAUUUUUAUAAUUAUAAUAAUAACAUCUUAAAUCAAUCUAAUAUAUGACUCAACUAACACAAAGGGGUCAAUUGACGUUAUAUUUUUGUAAAUUAAUCCGGUCACGAGUCAUUAUCUUUGGACCUAUUCAAAACCAUAAUUGGGUUAAAUUAGACAUAUUUAUCAAACCUAAGUAUAGUCCACAAACAUGUUUCUUAUUUCAAUAUUCUUUUAACGGACCAGUUAGUCAUUGAAAAAUGAGCUCAUGAAAUUACUUAAUCCUUCAUUCAAAAUCCUUUUAGUUGAGUAAAUUGAAGCUGCAUUUCGUAAGUUAAUAGCGUUAUGAGUCAUUAUCUCUUGACCAAAACUAACCGAGUUGAGUUGGUUUGAAUUGGACAUAUCUAUAAAACAUAAAUAGAGUUCACAAAAUAAUAUUAUCUUUCUUUAUAAUUCUUUUAGCGAGUCACUUGAUGUUACAUUUUCUUAAGUUAAUGGGGAUAUUUACAACUAAAAGCAGUAUAAUGAAUUUGUUUUUAUUUUAAAUUAGUAUUACGAUUAAUUACUCAUUACACAUACAAAACUCGCCGGUGGCACAUAUAUUAUAUUUACAACUAAAAGCAGUAUAAUGAAUUUGUUUUUAUUUUAAAUUAGUAUUAGGAUUAAUUCGUCAAUUGAUUAUUCGAUACACAUACAAACUUUUAAUUCAAAUCCGACUCAGUGCAUGUUUCCAUCCUGGUUCCAUCGUUGCAUGCUGCAACUAGAUUUAUAUAUUCGUUUUUAAUGAAUCAAAAUAAUCAACAUGAAAUGAGUCCGAAACAGUUUUGGUAUAAAAUAUUGAAUAAAAAAGAAAAUAAAAAUAAUUGCAUAAUUUGUGUAGUUAUUCCAUCCACAAAAUUUAUUUUAUUUUGCGUAGCUUUGUUAGUCAUUAUGAUUUAGAUAGACUAUAAUUGGAAAUUUUAGUUUCGGAUAUGUGUCAAUUGGUCAUAAUGAUCUUUAUAGGAUUUUCAGACAGUAAAAUACAUAAUAUGAAAAAACAUAAAAAUUAUCGUUCCUGAAAAUACAUAUAGUUUCUUCCUUCGUUCCGCCAUUUCUCGUUUGGAUGAGUAACCAAACCAAUAACUAGAAUUAUUAUGCCUAUUACAAACUUACAUUAAGAUUGCAAGGAUUCACUCAUUCUAAAUUAAAAAAAAAAGAACAUUAUUUUUCUUAGUUAUAGGAAAAAUAUUUGCUAAUUUAUAUGUUUUUCCUUUGAAUAAAUAGAUGUGGAAAAUAUUUCGGAAAUUCAGAUAGGCAAAUGAAGAAAAUAAUUGACGAAUUAAUAAUUUGGUGUUGUAAGUUUAAAAUUAAUAUAUAAUAUUGUAGCCAUUAUAAUUUCGUCUUCAAUAUGUUUAUAAAUGACAAGCAUAUUGUAGCUUGGUGUCGCGGCUACCGCUAGGCAAUUGUUCGGAUAUACCCCAAAGGAAAAGACCAAAACAAAAAAAGAAGAAGUACGUCCGUAGAGGCUUCUUCCUUUCAGAGUGCCAUGGAUCAAAGAUCUGAGAAACAAUGUGCAAUCACCCAAGAAUAAUCAAUCGGCUUCUCAAUAUUCUCCCCAGCCGGACUAAGAGAAUCCCACAUUAUAAGAGAACACAGUGCCAAUUAUUAUCAAUUUUAUCAUCACUACACACAGCACUAUUUCCCUUCCUUGUUCCCCCCUUUAGCAUUACUAUAUAUUCCCAAGGUGUAUUCAACAUCAUGCAUGUGGAGAAGAUCAAUGCUGUGUGCGUCAUCUUACUUCUGCACUGCUUCAUCCGUAAGUUAUAAGUUUUAUGGAAAACGCUUCGGGAUCUUGAGGAUAUCAAUAUUUUCUAUAUACAAUUUUGCUAUAUAUAUUUUGUGCUUAAAAUUUAAAUUUUGAGGUUGAAGAUUGUAUUUAGGAUUCAGGGUAUAGUGCUAGGGGUUAGAGUUUCAUAUUUAGGGUUUAGAAUCUAUUAAUUUUGAUUUAUGGUUAAAAGUUAGGGUUUAUGAUACGAUUUUGAGUUUGAGUUUAUGAUACAACGUUUGAGGGUAGGAUUUAUGUUUAGGGUGUCAGCAUCAUUUUCUAGUAUCUAGGGUUUACCGAGCAAAGGGUUAUUCUAACUGCGUUUAACUAGCCAAUCAAUCACACUCAUGGCCGGGCUUCAGUAGUUGCGAAGGAUCUUCAAUAUCACUCGCCAGUCCUCGUUGAUGGAGUUUCGCAAAUACCAAAAGAAGUACACGAUUUUGGUUUUGAAGCAAUGAAAUACUCGACUUGUUGGAAGCUUGGUAAGUAACCAUGUUCAAUUAUCCCAUAUAUUAACGGAGAAUACUUACUGCCAGACAAUUAAAUUAUUUUUUUAAUGAUUGGUAUAUGAUAAUGAAUUUUUUGAAAUGAUAAUGUAUAAAUGUGUAAUUACACAAAAUAUGUGUCAAUCCGAGUUUUUUCUGCCUAAAAUCAUCUUAAGUUAAAGCAGAAAAAGCUUAUGUUAUUGAACUAAAAUAACAUAAAUAUAUAAUAUAUAUUAGAUUCAUCAUCCACCCGUUGGUCAGUUUAUGUUUUGUUAUUUUUUAAAAUUAUUUUUCAUGUUUUUUUCCGUUGAUAAUAUAUCUUUGUUUGUAAAUGGAUUUUGAUUAGGGAUGAAAAUCGUGACUUUGUGUUUUGGAUAAUCCCGAAUCCGCAUAGAAUAUACUUUACUCUCAAAUGUUCCAGACAUGAAAUGUAAAUUAGAUGGUUACAUAUUCAUGAAUACACAUUUACUCGCUCGGAUAAACCCCUAAUCAUAUUCUACCCAUUUACCCUAAUUAUCAACUACCCACAACCCUAUUAUCUAAUAAUUUCCAAAAACCAAAACACUACAUAUAUCAUAACAUUUUGUAUUCACAGUUUUACAUAUAACGAAAUCUCAUACAUAUUGCUAGGUACUAGCAAAGUCGGAGUUGUUUUGGUUUAUGGUUUUUUUUUUUUUAUGGGGUUUGUAGAAAAAAAAANNNNNNNNNNNNNNNNNNNNNNNNNNNNNNNNNNNNNNNUUUUUGUACUCUUUAUAAAUAUUUUGAAUGGAAUUUGGAUAUGAGGACAGAUGGUUACCCAAUCGUGUAUUGAUAUGUGGUACUUGUCUGUAUUGUGGAUACCUAUAGUUUUCAAAUGAGUUUGAGAUUUGGGAAUGAAUUUUUCUAUCUUUGUAAUAGUUACCCGUGAGUUCGGGUUUGGGUACUAAAACUUGUUUUGAAUUCCAGCCAUAAUCGGAAUAAGUUANNNNNNNNNNNNNNNNNNNNNNNNNNNNNNNNNNNNNNNNNNNNNNNNNNNNNNNNNNNNNNNNNNNNNNNNNNNNNNNNNNNNNNNNNNNNNNNNNNNNNNNNNNNNNNNNNNNNNNNNNNNNNNNNNNNNNNNNNNNNUAAAAUUUAAUUUUAAAAUUAUUUGAAGAAAAUGUGUAGUCUUAAUCAUGAUAUGAGGAUGGCAAGGGAAGUUGUACAAAAUAGAACAAAUUAUCUUAAAAUUUAUGAGUUUUUAUUAAAUUAAACAAUGAACCACUUACAUUUUCAAUAGUACAAUCACAAAUUACAAAUAGUUUAUUAUCUAUGUUGCAUUUUUAGUCUACAAUUCAUAUAUUCGAACUUGUAUUCGAGUUGAUUUUCGAGUUCGAGCUAGCUCGUAAACCUAUCGAAUUAAACUUAUGUUCUAACUCAUUCAAAAUCAAACCAAAUCAUAAACGAACUUUUUUCAAACCAAACAUCAAACUACCCCAAAUAGCUGCAAAGCAUAUACCUAGUUUUAAUGAAGAUAAGAAACAUAGCAAACGUCUACGACUUAAUAGUGAGUAAUUAGCAGAAUUGCAGGCUCUGUUGGCCUUUUCCUGUGCCGCCCAAAAUAGCAUCCCAUAAGCAAGAAAGUGCAAACAGUCAUGUACUCGACAAAUUUAUUUGUGUUACGUACACGUAACUUUGAGUUUAUUAUUUUGAGUGUUAUGGGAACCUCAAAACUGGAGUUCAACGGCCUCAAAUUCAUUUUAGAAAAAUAAUGGUCCUGCUUUCAGAAUAGGGUAAAGACGGAAUAUCAGAAACUUGCAUGAUUGAAUGCAUACUUUACGCCGAUCACCAACAACCCCUAGUCCACCUCCGCUCGUAAGUCCACGCCCGCCGAAGAUACCAUUUUUACAAUAAAUCAUAUAUAAUAUAAAAUUUUACUAAUGAAAAUGCAAAUGAUACAUGAUUAGUAUAAUUUAUAAAUUGUAAGAUAAUUUGUAAUUUUAGCUUGAUUCAUUGGUGUUUUUCAGUGUUCAAAGUUCAAACUCACCUUAAAUUAGACUCAUGAAGGAUUUCGAUGAGCAAAAUUUGAGUUCAAUUCAAAUCUGAUUCGUAAACAGUAGUUAACGAAUUAAAUUCAAAUAAACUCAAACAUGAUACGAGAUAAAAUUAUCUAACUCAAAUUCAAUCUCACAUAAAAAAAUAACAAACCAAACUUAAAAAGCAUAUAAUUCAACUUGCUUCGGUUUCGGACCGCCCUGAUUGCUUUCUGGUUUAAAUUCAUUGCGGUGACAUCUUGUUCAAUUUAUGAGCCGAGCCAAAUAAAUGAAAAUAUUUAAUGGGCCUAUAAAUGCCAGGCCCAAUAAUUCCGACAUUACGUAGGUGAAGGUAGUUGGGACAAACUCUGGAUCCAGAGGGAUGCAGUCACGGAUUCAGAGAUGGAGAGUGGAGACUGGAGAGACGCUUACUGAAUUACUGUAUUUAUUUACUAUUAGCAUUCGAUGGAGUUGUUGAUCGAUCAUAAAUCUGGAGAAUGGUGACAAGUCAGCUUGUUCGCUUAUACUCUCUCCCUCUCUCUGUAGGUGCAUUCAUGUCGAGAAACAACUUCCAUUCUUCAGAGUGAAAUGCAGAGAUUGCAUAAAAUUUGCAGCAUAAAUGGUCACCCAAUUUUCCCGGCAAAUUAGCUUUCCCGCCAUUUACGAAGUAACCUUUGACCAUUUAUCCAAGUAACAAUUUCUAUAUAUGGAAACUCAAACCAACUCUACUUGAUUAGGAUUCACAAUCAUUUCUAAACAUUCUUAUCAUUCUUUUUCUGGAAAAAAAACUUGGUUGUUCCUCCCAAUCAAGAAGAGAAGUUAACCAAAAUUCAAAAAAUCAACAAUGGAGGGAACGGAAGCAGAGGAAGAAGGAAACACCAAGUACACGUCAUCAACAAACAGGAAGAGCAGCAAGAAGAAAAGGAUUGAGCUAGGGAUCUCAUGUAUGCUCAACACCGAGGUUGCCUCCGUCCUCGCCGUCCUCCGUCGCCCACCGCCCGAUCCCACGGCGGCGCAGUUCCUUUCCCAAGAGGAUCAGUACGAUACCGCCCUCGUCCACUCUUUCAAAUCCCUCCGUACAUUGAUUUUCAACCCUCCUCAGGACUGGCAGACCAUGGACCCCGCCGUCUACCUCACGCCAUUCCUCGACGUCAUUCAAUCCGACGAGAUUCCCUCUGCUGCUACCUCCAUCGCUCUCUACUCCGUCCUUAAGCUCCUCAGCGUCGGAAUCUUCGACGAGCGGACCACCGGAGCAAGGGACGCCANNNNNNNNNNNNNNNNNNNNNNNNNNNNNNNNNNNNNNNNNNNNNNNNNNNNNNNNNNNNNNNNNNNNNNNNNNNNNNNNNNNNNNNNNNNNNNNNNNNNNNNNNNNNNNNNNNNNNNNNNNNNNNNNNNNNNNNNNNNNNNNNNNNNNNNNNNNNNNNNNNNNNNNNNNNNNNNNNNNNNNNNNNNNNNNNNNNNNNNNNNNNNNNNNNNNNNNNNNNNNNNNNNNNNNNNNNNNNNNNNNNNNNNNNNNNNNNNNNNNNNNNNNNNNNNNNNNNNNNNNNNNNNNNNNNNNNNNNNNNNNNNNNNNNNNNNNNNNNNNNNNNNNNNNNNNNNNNNNNNNNNNNNNNNNNNNNNNNNNNNNNNNNNNNNNNNNNNNNNNNNNNNNNNNNNNNNNNNNNNNNNNNNNNNNNNNNNNNNNNNNNNNNNNNNNNNNNNNNNNNNNNNNNNNNNNNNNNNNNNNNNNNNNNNNNNNNNNNNNNNNNNNNNNNNNNNNNNNNNNNNNNNNNNNNNNNNNNNNNNNNNNNNNNNNNNNNNNNNNNNNNNNNNNNNNNNNNNNNNNNNNNNNNNNNNNNNNNNNNNNNNNNNNNNNNNNNNNNNNNNNNNNNNNNNNNNNNNNNNNNNNNNNNNNNNNNNNNNNNNNNNNNNNNNNNNNNNNNNNNNNNNNNNNNNNNNNNNNNNNNNNNNNNNNNNNNNNNNNNNNNNNNNNNNNNNNNNNNNNNNNNNNNNNNNNNNNNNNNNNNNNNNNNNNNNNNNNNNNNNNNNNNNNNNNNNNNNNNNNNNNNNNNNNNNNNNNNNNNNNNNNNNNNNNNNNNNNNNNNNNNNNNNNNNNNNNNNNNNNNNNNNNNNNNNNNNNNNNNNNNNNNNNNNNNNNNNNNNNNNNNNNNNNNNNNNNNNNNNNNNNNNNNNNNNNNNNNNNNNNNNNNNNNNNNNNNNNNNNNNNNNNNNNNNNNNNNNNNNNNNNNNNNNNNNNNNNNNNNNNNNNNNNNNNNNNNNNNNNNNNNNNNNNNNNNNNNNNNNNNNNNNNNNNNNNNNNNNNNNNNNNNNNNNNNNNNNNNNNNNNNNNNNNNNNNNNNNNNNNNNNNNNNNNNNNNNNNNNNNNNNNNNNNNNNNNNNNNNNNNNNNNNNNNNNNNNNNNNNNNNNNNNNNNNNNNNNNNNNNNNNNNNNNNNNNNNNNNNNNNNNNNNNNNNNNNNNNNNNNNNNNNNNNNNNNNNNNNNNNNNNNNNNNNNNNNNNNNNNNNNNNNNNNNNNNNNNNNNNNNNNNNNNNNNNNNNNNNNNNNNNNNNNNNNNNNNNNNNNNNNNNNNNNNNNNNNNNNNNNNNNNNNNNNNNNNNNNNNNNNNNNNNNNNNNNNNNNNNNNNNNNNNNNNNNNNNNNNNNNNNNNNNNNNNNNNNNNNNNNNNNNNNNNNNNNNNNNNNNNNNNNNNNNNNNNNNNNNNNNNNNNNNNNNNNNNNNNNNNNNNNNNNNNNNNNNNNNNNNNNNNNNNNNNNNNNNNNNNNNNNNNNNNNNNNNNNNNNNNNNNNNNNNNNNNNNNNNNNNNNNNNNNNNNNNNNNNNNNNNNNNNNNNNNNNNNNNNNNNNNNNNNNNNNNNNNNNNNNNNNNNNNNNNNNCGGAAUCUUCGACGAGCGGACCACCGGAGCAAGGGACGCCAUCAACUCCGUCGUCAUGGGGAUCACCGGAUGCCGAUUGGAACGAACGGAUCCCGUCUCGGAAGACGCCGUUAUGAUGCGGAUCCUCCAGAUCUUGACGGCGAUCAUGAAGCAUCAGGCUGCCAUUCUGUUAACGGAUCAGGCCGUGUGUACGGUGGUCAACACUUGUUUCCAGGUGGUUCAGCAAUCGGCGAGUAGAGGGGAUUUGCUUCAACGGAGUGCUAGGUAUACGAUGCACGAAUUGGUCCGUAUGAUUUUUGCGAAAUUGCAGGAUAUUGAAGUGAACCCUGGGGAGGAAUCGGAUACGGACAUGGACGAUGCCGAUUUCGAUGGGAAUCUGGAUUCAGGGUAUGGAAUUCGUUGCGCUGUUGAUAUCUUCCAUUUCUUGUGUUCGUUGCUCAAUGUUGUGGAAGUUGUGGAGAGUGAAGGGAAUUUGUAUCGUACUUCUGAUGAGGAUGUUCAGCUUUUCGCAUUGGUAUUGAUAAAUUCGGCCAUCGAGUUGAGUGGAGACGUGGUUGGGAGUCACCCCAAGCUUCUUCGGAUGAUCCAAGACGAUUUAUUCCAUCAUUUAAUCCAUUAUGGAGCAUCUUCCAGCCCCCUCAUUUUGUCCAUGAUCUGUAGCACAGUUUUGAACAUUUACCAUUUCCUUCGCAGGUCAGGAAUUUCUACAGCUCUUCAAUUUACUUCUAUAUUCAAAUUCUUGGCUAAUUGGUGUAAUCCUUUUAUUUAUAGGUUUGUUCGUCUUCAACUUGAGGCAUUCUUCAAGUACGUGUUGUUGAGAGUUGCAGCAAAUGGAGUUUCAACUCAGCUUCAAGAAGUUGCACUUGAGGGAAUCGUUGAUUUUUGUAGGCAGCCAACUUUUAUCAUUGAAGCAUAUGUGAACUAUGACUGUGAUCCACUAUGCAUUAACAUGUUUGAGGAAACUGCAAAGUUGCUCUGCAAGCUGUCAUUUCCAGGAGCAAGUCUUGCAACGUCAUUACAAGCUCAAGCAUUUGAAGGUCUAGUUGGGAUCAUUCACAACAUAGCCGAGAACAUCAACAGGGAAGGUGAUUCCACGCCUUCUGGACCGUACCCGGUUCACUUGACAGAGUACAGUAAGUUCUGGCAAGACAGGCCUUUGGAGAAUAACGAUGCAUCUGUGGCAUAUAUGAGGAUAAGAAAAGUACAAAAGAGGAAAAUUUUGGUUGCUUCAAACCAUUACUCUAGAGAUGAGAAGAAAGGGUUGGAGUAUUUGAGGCUAAGUUUGAUGUUUCCUAAUCCUCCAGAUCCUAAAGAUUUUGCUUUCUUCUUUCGAUUCACACCGGGGUUAGACAAGACUAUGAUUGGAGAUUACUUGGGUGAUCCUGAUGAUUUCCACAUUCAGGUUCUGAAAGAGUUCAGUUGUACUUUUGGGUUCUCAGGAAUGGUUCUUGACACUGCUCUCCGUACUUAUCUUGCCACCUUCAGGUUGCCUGGAGAGUCCCAAAAAAUCCAGAGAAUAAUGGAAGCUUUCUCGGAUCAAUUCUAUGAGCAACAAUCUUCCGAUAUUUUCGCAACUAAAGAUGCAGUUUUCGUCCUUUGUUACUCUCUCAUUAUGCUCAAUACUGACCAGCACAAUCCUCAGGUCAAGAAGAAGAUGACAGAGGAAGAGUUCAUCAGGAACAAUAGGGCUAUCAAUGCUGGACAGGAUCUCCCUAGGGAAUACCUCUCCGAGCUUUUCCAAUCGAUAUCUUCUAAAGCAAUUGCACUCUUCGGACAAACUGGACAGCAAGACAUGAAUCCUGGACUGUGGAUAGAGCUGAUGGGUGCUUCCAGAUAUUUGCAACCCUUCACUCUUUAUGAUUUCGACCGUCGUCUCGGGAGAGAUAUGUUUGCCUCCGUUGCUGGUCCGGCAGUUGCAGCCCUCACCGCAUUUUUCGAGCAAUCUGAUGAGGAUGAAAUGUUCCACGAAUGCGUUGAAGCAUUGAUUUCGGUAGCCAGAAUAGUACAGUAUGGCCUGGAAGAUACGCUAGACGAGAUGCUUGCCUCAUUGUGUAAAUGUACCACACUACUGAAUCCUUAUGCAUCGGCAGAAGAGACAUUGUUUGCCUUUAGCCAUGAUCUGAAGCCCAGAAUGGCUGUACUUGCAGUCUUCAGCAUUGCGAAUAAUUUCGGCUGUGGGAUUCGAGGAGCGUGGAGGCCAAUCUUGGACUGUCUGUUGAAGCUGAAAAAGCUCAAGUUGCUUCCUUCAUCUGUAGUUGAGAUACACAAUUCUUUAGCGCCUUCCGUUGAUUCGUCAUCUGACCAUUCUAGAAAUGACGGUGGCUUAAUUUUCCCAUCUCAUGAAUCAAAAUCAUCAGGUGGCAGCAAUCGCCAGAGCUCAACCAUGAUUGGCAGAUUCUCUCAAUUUUUGUCUCCUGACAGUAUGGAAGAAUCCUUGUCUCUCGGCCUGAAUGAAUUCGAGCAGAAUCAAAAAGUUAUCAAGCAGUGUCAGAUCGGGAGCAUAUUCACCAACAGCUGGAACUUGUCGGAUGAAACUCUAGCAUAUCUAGGUCGUACUCUAAUCUUUGCAUCAGCAGGCAAAGGGCAGAAAUUUGCGACGCCAAUCGAGGAAGAAGAAACCAUAGAAUUCUGUUGGGAUUUGAUAGUUGCUCUAUCUUUUGCCAACAUUAACCGGUUACAUAACUUCUGGCCAGCCUACCAUGAAAACUUGUUUGAAGCUAUUCACUUUCCUCUAUUCUCCUCAAUCCCAUUUGCAGAGAAGGUCAUAAUUGCCCUCUUCAGGAUCUGCCUCAAGCUACUCUCAUCUGCCAGAGUAGAGAAACUGCCAGAGGAACUCAUCUUCAAAUCCAUCAACAUGAUGUGGCAAAUAGAGAAGCAGAUUCUAGACACAUGUUGUGAAUCCAUAACAAAGUCAGUCAGCAAGAUUUUGUUUGAAUACCCUGCAAAUCUGCAGAGCUUCCUGGGUUGGAAAACAGUCCUCCAUCUCUUAUCCGUCUCUGGACGCCAUCAGGAAACCUACGAUCAGGGAGUAGAGACGCUUAUCAUGCUCGUUUCGGACCAAACUCAUGUUUCCCCCGUGAAUUACCCUUUCUGCAUCGACUGUGCAUUUGGGUUCGUGGCGCUUAAGAACAGUCCCCUGGAGAAAAACCUGAAGAUUCUGGACCUUCUGGCGGAAUCGGUCAGCUUGCUAAUCCAUUGGUAUAAAAACUUCUCAGACCCUGGUAGCAAUUUCAGUACAGCAAGCACAGGAAGCAAUAACUCUUUCCAGGAUGCCGCUUCGUUUUCGGUCAGCUUGUUCCUGAAAUUAGGAGAAGCCUUCAGGAAAACCAGCUUGGCAAGACGAGAGGAAAUCAGGAACCAUGCCAUCAAGUCUCUUCAUAAGAGCUUUUCCUUAGCAGAGGAGUUGGAUUUCACACCUGCCAACUGCCUAAACUUGUUCAACUUAGUGGUAUUUGCCAUGGUAGACGAUCUGCACGAAAAGCUGAUAGAAUACUCGAGGCGGGAAGGGGCGGAGAGGGAGAUGAGGAGUAUGGAAGGGACUUUGAGCUUGGCGAUGGAACUUAUGACGGAGGUUUAUCUACAGUUCCUGAAGCCAAUAGCAUCAAGCCCCGGGUUCAGGACGUUCUGGUUGGGUCUAUUGAGAAGGAUGGAUACAUGUAUGAAAGCUGAUCUUGGGGAGUAUGGUGAGACCAAGUUGCAGGAGGUGAUUCCAGGUCUCUUGAAGAAAAUGAUUAUUAAGAUGAAAGAAGAUGAAAUUUUGGUACAGAAGGAAGAUGAUGAUCUGUUUGAAAUAGCUUACAUUCAAAUUCAGUGGAUUGCUCCUGCCUUGAAGGAAGAACUUUUUCCUGAAUUGGAAAUUUAGGUGUUAGUUUUUUUGUUUAUGGAUGAAGGAAAUUUUGGUACGCAUAAUAUGUGUAUAUAAUAUAGAUUCGUACUUUUUGUAAUUAGAUUUAUUGAAUUUACAGAUUUACCAGAAUUUGGUGGAUUAGUGACUAGAUUUUUUUAUAUACUUGCAGUUUGUCCACCUAUUAGCGCGACAUUAGAUGUAUUCUUUUUUUAUAGUGAAACACACGAAAAAAAACUAACUAUAAUGCCACCAGUUUAGGCACGAAAACCCUCACUUUAUCAUGGUCUCUCGCUCCCCUCGUGCUACCAAUCAUUGUUAGAUACUGCCACUCGCUGCAACUCCAAGAGCAACAGCCCGUGUUCCUCGUCAACCAGGUAGUCUACCACGUGAUUUGCUUCCUUGGUAAACAUAUAUAACCCGAACUUCUCAAUCUCUUGCUGGCACACUAUGAAUUCAUCCACAAAGCUUGUGUUGAUGUAAAUAUAUAUGUCUGAAUACAUUAGAUACCUAUUGAAGAAAUGAUUCCUUACUCCAAUCCUCAUUUGGAAAUGGACAUAGUGAAGUGGAAAAGAACUCACCAUUCAAAUAGAAAAGAUCUGGAACCACUUCCUAGCAUUGAUAAACUUGUUCAAUUUAUAUAUUUAUUAACAAAAUUAAGUCUUUUUAUAAGUUGAGAUAGAAUUUGGCUUAUAUAAUUUAUUGAUCAACAUAAACUCAACUUGAUUAUGCCUCGCGAACGAACAACGAUCACAAGCUUAACUUCAAGCUCGAUUAAAACUCAUGACAAGUCACAAUGAGAAAAGGUGAAUGUAACUCGACUGCCGGCACAGUUAUGAGUUUGAGCCGAAUUCAAAAUCGAUGCGGUUUAACGAAUUUUGACCCAGUCGCCAACCCGACCACAAAACGAGCUCAUUUAACAUUUAGUCGAGUCUAUUAGAAAUCGGACAUUUGAGCGAAUCGGGUUGGUUAACAGCCCACCCACCCGUAAGAAUGUUUAGUAGAUUAAUUUUGAACAAAUAAACCUAACGCCGGAGUAACUUAUUUCAAUUCCCUAGUUGAUAGGGGCGAGUCGAGCCGUCGCGGUGAUCCGUAUGCUACUGGGGCAACCCUUUCUUUCACCCUCCGCGUGUAUUGUUUUUCAUUCAGUUAGCCGCCUCCGUCGGCCCUCGUGGCCUCCUCUGAACUGCAGAUCUCCAAAACGGCAGCUCGCUCGCUCACAAACCCACAUGUCUGAUGAUUGUGUUCUAGCUCCCGAUUCAAAUGCCAAGCAGCAAUCCGACGCCACGCUCUCGGGUAGCCUCUCAUGUCAAUGACCCUCUCCCUACGAGCUUCAAAGGCUUUACCUUCCUCAUCCUUCUUCUUCGAGGUACGACACCGUUGUUUCCCUAUUGUUCCCCGCCUUCUCACCGCCGAAGCCGCUGCUGAACCACUUGCUGAAUCAAUUCCCCCUGAAUCUAUCCAUCAUUACAAAGACCUUAUUUUUAGCACUGUUCAGCAUAAGCCCUUUGCCUAUUGCAACCAAAACUGGGGGUUUGAGCUGUUUCACCCUGUAAUUACUGAUCCUGACUUGCUGGCUCGAGUCAUAUCCUCGAUGCACGAAAAGCCCCAAGUAGUUUUGAGGUUUUUCAGAUGGGUUCAGAGCCAACCAGGGUUUAAGUGCUCGGAAUCUGUAUGUUGCGCUCUUCUUGAGGUUUUGGCGGAUAACGGUAUGAUGAAGCCUGCUUAUUGGGUUGUGGAGAGGGUGAUUGAAAGACAAAUGGAUGGGAUUGUCGACGUAUUGAUUGGUAAUAAUGGGCGCUUUGAUUAUCCGGUUUUGAUCAAGAUUCUUGAUCUUUUGCUGUGGGUUUACACCAAGAAAUCCAUGGUUAAGCAGUGUUUAUUGGUUUUUGAGAAGAUGCUGAGAAGUGGGAUGUUGCCUGAUAUUAAGAACUGCAACAGGAUUCUCAGGGUGCUUCGAGACAAGAAGAUGGAAGCUGAAGCUAAUCAAGUGUAUGGAAUGAUGGGAGAAUAUGGAGUUAAGCCUACUACCAUUACGUAUAAUACAAUGUUGGAUUUGUUUUGCAAGGAAGGCCGGGUGCAGCAAGUCCUGAAUCUUGUGUCGGAGAUGCAAACCGCUGGUGUUGCUCCCAACGAAGUGACGUAUAAUGUGUUGAUCAAUGGGUUGUCGAAAAGAGGGGAGUUAGAGCAAACUUUGGGAUUCAUAGGGGAGAUGAUGCAAGCAGGAUUGGGAGUUUCGUCCUAUACCUAUAAUCCUCUAAUUUUCGAGUAUUGCAAAAGAGGGUUGUUUAUCGAGGCGUUGGGCCUUGGAAACGAGAUGGUGACAAAAGGGGUGGCUCCUACAGUAUCAACUCAUAAUGCAAUCAUCUAUGGGUUCUGCAAAUAUGGGAGAAUAAGUGAUGCUAGGAAGCUGUUAGUAGACAUGUUGAGGAACAAUGUGAUGCCGGACAUAAUUUCGUAUAAUUCGCUUAUUUAUGGGUACUGUAGGUUGGGGCAUGUUGGUGCUGCUUUUCUUUUGUUUGAUGAGUUAAGUUAUCGGAGGCUUCGUCCUACUGUGGUUACAUAUAAUACGCUCAUAGAUGGGCUUUGCAGAUUGGGGGAUUUGGAAGGUGCUCGAAAGCUGAAAUAUGAUAUGGUCAGUCAUGGGAUCCUUCCUGAUGUCUUUACCUACACCAUUCUUGUUAAUGGUUCGUGCAAGUUCAGAAAUAUGUCCAUGGCCAAGGAAUUUUUCAAUGAGAUGCUGCGUGCAGGGUUAUCGCCUGAUCGGUAUACAUAUACUGCACGGAUUAUGGGUGAACUGCAGAUUGGUGACACAACUAAGGCAUUUGAUUUACAGGAAAAAAUGCAGGCUAAGGGGAUCCCUCCUGGUGUAUUUACCUAUAAUGUCCUUGUCUAUGGACUGUAUAGGUUGGGUAAGUUUGAAGAUGCUGAGGAAACUUUGCAGAAAAUGGUUAAAGAUGGUUUAGUCCCUGAUCAUAUAACCUACACCACCAUCAUACAUGCACAUUUGGAAAAUGGGUGUCUGAUGAAAGGCAGGGAGAUCUUCUACGAGAUGUUGAGCACGGGGCAGAAGCCUACAGUCGUAACUUACACGAUAUUGAUUCACGCUCAUGCACUCAAAGGGAGGCUUGAAUUGGCAACCAUGUUUUUUUCGGAGAUGCAAAACAAAGGGCUUGUUCCGAAUGUUAUCACGUACAACGCUUUGAUAAAUGGAUUUUCCAAAGUAGGAGAGAUGUAUCAAGCAUACACAUAUUUUCACGAGAUGGAACGAAAAGGUGUAUCUCCUAACAAGUACACGUUCACCAUAUUGAUUAGUGGGAAUUGCGACAUCGGGGACUGCCAGGGGGCUUUGACACUAUACAAAGAUAUGCUAGAUAGAGAGAUUGAGCCAGAUUCUUGUACUCAUAGUGCACUGUUGAAAGACCUGCAUAAAGACUACAAAUUGCACGCUGUGCAGUACAUUGAGAGUUUGUUAGUUGAAGAUAGUGAUGCGUCAAUGGUCAAUACAUUUGAUGCUGCAAGAGGCUAGGAGUGGAUUCUGCUCAGCUAGGAACUGACACACUUCUUGUUCAUGUAAACAAUACACCUCAUCUGGUCUUCGAAUCAACAUGCUGAGUGGCACCUUGUACUCUUUAUCUUUGAUGAUACAGCAAGUAAGAGCUUCUCUCCCCUUUAGAGUUUGGUCGACUUGAAUUUUGCUGAAUUGAACUUCUCUCAAAUGAGCUUUGUUUGGAUGUGACAGGGUGCACUUGCUGGCGUAUAUGAUUGAUUAGCAAAAGGAUUUGAAGUGCAAUAUGUAAGCUCGCGCAUUUCAGUUCUUAUUUCUUCCGGAUGCAGUUGCUACAAAGAGUUGGCAAGGUAGCGGGAUGAAACUUGAAACUGUAUUAUGCUUUCAUUCAUCAAAUAAAUCUCUGACCACAUGCCUGAUUUGUUUAUUCAUUCCAAAAUUUUGAAACUGGGAAAGAGGAAUCCAUAGCUGUUUUACCACUUGUGUUCUAUAGUUCUACGAGGCUGUAAGAAUACCCGGUAAGUGUUUCUUUCCUCUCAGAGCUUUGGCUGCAGUGACACAGAACUAUGUUCAGCAGUUGAGAGACUUCAUGAACAAUUUCCCUUCAGUGAGUACAGUAAUUUUUUGUGGCUAUUAAUACAUUGCGGAAGAGUUUGCACUGCAUCUUAGUUUCUCUUAGAAAUGUCAGUAUGUCAAUGACUGCUUUUACUAUUUUGUUUUGCAAACAAACCACCUGUAUUGAAUUUGGUAGCAGUAGGAUUGAACUUCCAUCUUCAUGCACUCUGCAAAAUGAUGGACCAUCUUCCAUGAUUGCAUUCGUAAACACGACUGCAUAAAUGCUCAUGUUGGGUCUUGAAGAAUACAGAAAAGGGUGUAUAAUACAAAACUUUUCAGGCAGCUAAGAAGGAAGCAAGAAGUGUAAGUUGGAGAUUAGAUGCAGUGUCAGAUUCUGAUGGCUGUUGAUUUACUGGUAUAACUAUUAGUUUCUAUCUUCUUAAUUAAUGGCAUCCAUGCCACACUGGAUCAGUUGUGACUUGUCCAAUUCUUUUCUGUGGCAUAUGAUUGUGGAGUUUCUGCACUUUGAGUAAUUUGCUGGAACUCUGAAUGGUUGCAUCCUUCUUCAGAAGUAUUGUUUGUUAGCAAAAUACUAGUCAUGUAUAGUUGAGAGUUUGAAGAAUAAGCUUUGUUGUAAGAAAACAUAUGAUCCUCCGACGAACGAACAAGUUAUUUCUGUAUAAAAUAAUGCGCUGGAAUCUUAGCUUAGGAUGAAUCAAAUUAUUUUGUAGUAUUAGAAUAUGGUGGAAUCUUACCUAAUUACAAACCAGAUUACUUCAGCAGGUACGUCAAUGCUGCAGUAAUUCUAUCAAUGCUUUUAUCAUUAAGUGUGAGAGUUCACAAUGAUAUGUCACUGUUGUACUCGUAUAUCAGAAAAGAAUCAUGGAAAAGCUAUAUAAUCAGAGUUAACGAGGAUUCCAUGACAUUGCACGAAGAGUUUGAUUAUGUUGUCUGCUGUUUGUCUGGAGAAUGAAAUGCCACAUCACUAACUUUUGGGGAAUGACUUGGAAAGUUCGCAACAAGAAAAAAAUAAAGAGACGCAAAUGCAAACUGUGAUUCGAAGCAUAGUUCGCGGCUGGACUCGGUGCCUUAAUCCCAAAUAUGAAAAUCACUAUAUUUUACCUUAUUAUGUAUCUUAGUUUUUGUGAUUAUGUUUUGUCAUACCAGACUAAGUUCAUCAACAGAAAAUUGUACAAAUCCUUUUUAAGACAUGCAAAUCUUCUAAAUCCACAUAUUAUCGUAAUGAUCCGGUCGGAUAUAACCCGCUAAAGAGGUGCAAAAAGAUGUACACUUGAAAUGCCUCGUAGAUCAUUUGGUUGCAGUAUUCUGCGUCAGGGCUUAGAAAACAACGAUCAAAUUACUGCCAUGCGCUAGAAAAAAGUGGAACACCAUAACAAUACUCGUCUUGUGUAGACAACUAUAGUAUAAGUACAACAUAUAUACUUCCAGUUAAUUCCAUCAGCGACACAACUAGGGCUUUUCCCUUCGGUAUAUAUGUUCACGUCCAAGGAAAAUCCCCCCAUAGCUUUUGUAAUCUUUCUACCUCCAAUUUUGAAUCCCUUAGUAUAAAACCCCACCACUUCCCAUUCCUCGAGUUUCAAACUUUCCAUCCAACUAUUUGGCACCAAAAACAACGGUAUUGGUGCCAAAUAGUAACCCAAAAACAAAAAAAAAUGUCUGCUUUCUCAACCCGCCUGGUUUGUUUCCGUUUGCCUAUGAUCAACAGCAGCCGUGUAAGGUUGAACUCUGUGAAGGUCAACAGCGUGAAGUCAACCCUGCGGUCGUAUGGAAGUUUGGAGCUUGAUCAUAUGGAAACGACAGAGGAGAACAAGAGGCAGAACAUACCGACGGAGAAGAAGUACGUGGAUAGGCAUAGACAUGGUCUGAUGAUUGACAACGGCGUUGGGUAUCGACAGACUGUCGUUAUUCGAUCUUAUGAAGUUGGUCCUGACAAAACCGCCACUCUUGACAGCAUCCUUAAUCUUCUUCAGGUAUGAUUUAUUAAUUGUCCCUUAAUUACAUCGAUGAUCAUUUAACUCUGUGUAAAUGUGAUAGGAAAUAGCACUGAAUCAUGUGUGGAUGUCGGGGCUGCUUGGGAAUGGAUUCGGAGCAACUCAUGGGAUGGUCAAGAACAAUCUCAUCUGGGUUGUUUCCAGAAUGCAUGUUCUCGUUGAUCAUUAUCCUAUCUGGUAUGCCAAUUGUUACAUUUGUGUUGCAUACAUACAUGUUUUCUUACUUGGUAUUUUGAGAUCGACGAUUCGUUCGUUAAAAAAUAGUCAUUUUCCCAAACGAUACUACAUAUAACUGUGACAGUAGGUUUUGUAGUCUACUUAUGAUGAUUCCAAGAAUGUGUAAUUCCUAGGAAUUUGUCCUCAUAUAAUCAAGGCCCAAGACUCAUUUGUCUUGUGGCCUUAUAUACAAAAUUGUCGACUAGUUUGGCGGCUUUCAUUUUGAUCACUUGGUGACAAAAUUAGUAUCAAAUGGUGUGCCUGAUAUCUCCAAGUUUUUGGGAAUACUAGGGGCGAGAUAGUGGAGAUCGACACUUGGGUGGCAGCAUCCGGUAAGAAUGGGAUGCGUCGCGACUGGAUCAUUCGCAGCCAAGCUACCGGUCAUGUCUAUGCCCGCGCUACGAGGUAGAUUAUCUUUUUCAUCCUCAGUAAAAGUUUUAAGGUUUUUGAAGAUAUGUAAUGUACGAAGCAGUAUUGUAUGAAUGUGUGCAGUACUUGGGUGAUGAUGAACGAGAAGACGAGGCGGCUAUCGAAGAUGCCAGAGGUGGUUCGAGGGGAGAUAUCACCUUGGUUCAUCGACAAACAAGCCAUCCAUCAAGACGAUGCUAAUAUUGCUGCAGAUAGGAUCGUCAAGUUGGACAACAAUGCUAAAUAUGUCAACACUAACUUGAAGGUUCUUUUUGUUUCACGAAUCAUGUAUACAUACUACAUGUUAGUUGUCCAUUUCAUGAUUUGUAACAAUGGGCGAAAACUGCAGCCAAGGAGGAGCGACUUGGACAUGAACCACCAUGUCAACAAUGUCAAGUAUGUCAAAUGGAUGCUCGAGGUAAACCUUUGAUAGCUGAUACAAAACGUUACUUAUUGGUACAUAUUUUACAUAGCGUUGACUCUGAUGGAUCGUUAUUUCCAUUGUGGCACAGACAAUCCCGGACAACUUCGUGGAGUCGCACCAGUUGUCUGGGAUCAUAUUAGAGUACAGAAGGGAAUGCAGGAGCUCAGACAUUGUACAAUCACUCUGUGAACCCGAUGACGACACGAUCAGCCUCCUCCAAACCUGCUUCAUCAAUACCGGCAGAAAUUCAGACAAAAACAGCAGCAACAACAGUAUAGCGAGACCGGAUGAGAUCUCAUUGGCAUCACAGAUAAUGCAAGGCAACGGACUCCUGUGCACCCUUGACAAUCAGGAGCUCCUCAUUCCUACCAGAUUCACGCAUCUGCUUCAAACCCAGCUGCCAGACAAGAAGCCUAAUGCAUUCGAGGAGAUCGUUCGGGGAAAGACCUUCUGGAAGAAGCGUCCAAAGCCACGGAAUAUGGAUUAUGAUGAUCAACCUUGACUAAACACAAGAUUGACAAGACCGGCAGUCGUGAUUAUUGGAAAAGAAGGCUUUUUGGAAUUCAGUAAGAGUACAUAAUAUCAGUGUGAAGAAAAAACUACCCAGUUAUGGAAUUCAGUUUGUAUGUUGUCUAUAACUAUCGGAGCACCGAUGAAUAAAAAUGUGAAGGGACAGCUUACAUGUUUAAUAAAACUAUACAGAGUAUGUAAGAUUAAAAUGACACGAAAAAACCGAGAAAUACGAUGCUGUAACCAUUAACUAUACCCCUACUACAUGCUGCGAUAAACUCAAAUAUGUAAUUUCCACAUAAGCACAAAAGCUCAAAUUGCUUCCAUAAAUCUCCAAACAAGCACAACUUCUCCAAUUCAUUUCUCAGGUAGAUUUUCUGCUAAAACACAACUCCGAAACAAACCAACUCCCCCGAUUUAACGCCCGGCCCGGUGGCCUUCGAAUCCAUAACUCAAUGAACUAAACAUCCCUACGCAGGGCCGACUCUAUCAUAUAAUUCUCUAAGCUAAUUGUCCAGAAAUUGAGCUAAGGAAAGCUUGAACCGGAUAUUAUCGCCAUUUACAAUUCUCUAUGCAUAGACCAGGUAUGUACAGAGCCACUACCUACGACAAUGGAGCAGCAUAGUACAAAAAGAAUCAUGGGAUCAAAUGAGUAGGGCUACCAGCAAAAUCUUCAUCGUCUCUUUCUCUCGCGACUUCUUCGUUGCAAUUGCCAUGACCAUGCUAGCACCGACAAUACCAAUGAAACUCCAACGCUCGUCCAAAAGACAACCAACAACGUAGGCAUGGGGUUCGGGUACAAACCUGACCAACAGAAGCUUAUACAUGAUUACCAGCCUCUGCGAAAAAUCGGAAUUGGAGAUGGUUUAGGUGAAAAUGGAAGCUUAAGAGUGGCCGUAACACGUACCAUGUCCAAACUUGAUGCAGAUAAGAAGUUCAAUAAUGCAGAUAGCAACUGACAGCCAACAGAAAGCUCCAACCUUUUUCACCGGUUUCCUGAGAAACCAUCCGCAUAAAUAUGAACAACAAUUUAGUUAAGCGUAAAGCCCACACAAGCAUCAUGGGAGUGAGAGAGAACGUACCGAUCCUGAAGAUAUGAGUUGUAUUCACGAAUUGUUGGGAUGGCAAUAAGCCACCAUAAGAUCAAUCUGUAUAUUAUGACAGGGUUGCGUGGAGGGAUCCAAAGACAGAACUUGAGAAAGAAUGUGUUGAGCUCUACUGUUAGGAAGAUUAUGCAGAGAGUAAGAACUUGAAGAAAUCGCCACGGACCAAGCAAUGGAUGCCAUUCAUCCUUGUCCCAAUGGGCCGGAGUAAACUGUCCUAGUGUUCGUUUUACCUAUAGAACAAACACAAAAGGAAUCUUAACUCACCGGUUAACGUUACACAAAGUAAGUGACAAAUACUUCAUAGCUCAUAAAGAAGUUGGGUGCAAAGGAAAAGAAACUGCAAGAAGCGCGAAACCAUACCUUUCCCAUGAUGUUAGGCUGUCGACUAAUACCAAUCCACUCGUAUGUUUUACCAUCAAAGUAUCUUACAGUGCGCAUCCCUGCCCAUAUACCUGUGAUAUAUACCAAGCAGAAAAUUUCAGAUUGUAAUGCAGACCGCAUAAUCACAGUACUACAGCAGCAAAUCGAAGUGGCAUUUUAAAAAAAGACCAACAUCAAGGCCUAAAAUUUAACGAGUUUCAAACAGAAAUUCUCCCUUAACUAUUGUGUAUACUUCAAUUAUGUAACAUAGACUAGAAGAUAUGCUAGAAAUCGAACAGAAUAGAAACAUUCAUCAGAAGAACUUCCAAAAAUUUGCAGAAAAGGGAACAGUAAUAACUGUCAACUGUUAAGGAAGUCUUACCGAACAUAUUGCAUGUAAGUAUGUCGAGAAUGAUACUAUCCCACCAGCACUCGUUGAAAUUCGGUAACAUGUGGUGAAAGGUAAACUGAAAGUGCGAGAGAAUGUAAUGACCAUAUGCUCGAGAAUUGUAGAGAGCAAACGAAGUAAACAGAUCAACCAAGAUAGAAGAAAACUGUACGGUUGAGUGGAAAAAACUGACCUCUAGCAACUCGAAUCCAACAGAUAACACCCAAAGAAGAGCUUGAUUGCGGAUUAGUAUAGCCUUGCCCCACCAUCCAAAUAUAUGAGCUAGAACAAAUUCAUCAAAAAGCGUAUCCUGAAGAAACAAACGUAAUCGGGCAAUGUUACUUGGGAAUCAUAUACAAACGCUAAGAGUAAAAACUAGGAACGAUGGGAAAAGUCACCAAAAUCAAAAGCCAACUCAAAACCACCAUACCCCUACUUCCUGUUUGUAGGCAUCCAUUAAUCAGAAAACAAAUACUGAAAAAAGGAAGGGCAGGGAAAGAAGAAAUCAUACAUAAAGAUUCUUAAACCUGCUUGUAGGAUUUUCAGGUGUAUAAAUUCGACAAUCUGCACCAUAUGACUUUUCGGGGAGUUCUGUAAACCAAGAACGAGGAUAUGAUGAAUGAUAAAAAGUCAAUGCAGCAGAAAAAGAAAAUAGGGACUUCAAAAUUUUAAAGAGCAAGACAUGGAAGAGAGCUAGAACCAAACAUAACUGAGUCUCAGAACCAUUACCUACUCCAAGGUCAGGAUGGAGGAACUUCAUGAACUGUCUAGCAUCAUCACGCUUCUACAAAAGAGCAAAAUUCCUAUAUUAGCCUCAUGAAAAUUACUAGGAUCUCCUAAUAAGUGAUGAGACAUGAUGGAACGAAACCAACAUGAACAUUGCAAUAUGGAGAAAAAAUGUCUGCUUAUAAAUGGCUGAAUCGAAAUCUGUCUACCUGGAAAAGCAAAAAUGUGAGGGCCACCAGAUAGAUAACUGCCAUGCCAUGAACUAACCGCCAAAUUGCAGGAUGUGGUCUAAUAAGUAUCCUGAAACAUAUCAUGUUAACAGAAAAAAAUUCAGAGCAUAGACCAUCAAAACCAAUCUUCAUCCUUAUUUUAUGAUGGUGGAACUGAUAAUGUCGUGAAAUAGAAAACUAUUCUUGAUUGAUCUUUCCACAAGAAACUAGUGCACUGUUUCAAGAUUUUGACAAGACUAAUAUCCAGGAAUCGUUCACAAACUCUUUUAGCAGCCUUGCAGAAAAAGUUAACACUUUAACAAGCGAAGUCGUAUCUGAUUGACGGUAAAGAGAAGAAUCUAAGUAGCAUUGUCCGCUAUAAGAGACGAGUACUUCACAAGACAAUUUACCACAGAAGAGCUAGAUGUAGUUAAUCCACACUAGUUCUUUCCAUCAAAACCAUUUCUUUAGAUGGAUAUUUCAUCGAUUUAGAGUCCCCCGUUAAUGAAAGGCAAUAGACACUGAGAAGUGAGGGAAAAUUUAAUUACUAAGUGAACCAUCAUUUGAAAGGUCCUCACGCUAACAUCAGAAUACACAGUGUUACCAAUGACUACGCAAUAUCUAUAACACAGCAAGAUGAAUCAUCAAGAGCUUACGUAGAUGGAGCUUGCAGUAAGCAAUAAGCAAGAAAGACCGCUAUCAUUGCCCAUAUACCUCUGCAAGAUAUAGUCAAAUGAACUGAUGAAACAUUUAGUUUUAACAAAACGUGGAAAGCAGAAUCCUCACACGAAAUAAUCUCAAGUGACUUGGAAGCAGAGGCAAGACCUUUUCACUGAUGUAACAACAUCACCAGCUGAGCUGCUUUCAGGAUCAAGGGCUCCGCUUGCCCAACUAUUUGAAACAUGUAUGUCGUUAGUUAGAAGAUUAUCGUGAAAUAAGCUUAAUAAUUUACAUAAGGAGAUAGGCAAAAAAAACUCACAUAAGAAAGCAUGCACCAACAAGUAACAGCGAAAUGGUGCGUGGCUUGUAUGCCCAUGCAGUCCAUGGAUCUACAUCUCCAACGCUAGAAACUACUAAACCGCCAUUUUCAUGUACAAGCUGAUCUUUUCUCUUCACUCUUUUGCCACCGUUAGGCUCCAUGUUCGAGUAUGCUUACAGUAUCCAACUCGUUCCUUCAAAUAACAUAAGAAGGACCUGUCGUGAGAUAUGGAAGACGAAGUUUUUGCCUUCAAAUUGGAUCAGCAAACUGAUGACAUUCAGAAGCAAGUCGACUUGUGUCCCUUGCAUCUCUAAUAAUAAGAAUUUUUUAUGAUACAAAUCCAUUAGUAUAUAUGGCUUGAUUCUCAAACAAUCUAGAUGCCAUUUUCUCUGUCAAAUUGUUCUCAAAAUGCAGCUAGUCACAGAAUCUACCUUUAGAGGCUCUUCUUAUCCUUACUAGCCAUAAAAGCAUAGAAUGAAACGCAAGGAAAACAACAGAGGACAUAAGAACAAUCAGAAGCUAAAAAAGGUACAAUAAAUGAGGGAGGAAACUAUUAAGCCAACUACCUCCACCCACAGAAAAGAAUGGUCCUACAAUUUCCAUACUCAUAAAACUCAGCAGUACUACUCUAAGAACCACAACGCAUUAAACUUGUGAACCCCACAAAAAGGGGGGAUGAACAAAGUUCACAAGUUUUAAGUUCAAUUACAAAUCUGCUCCAACAAAACUAAGAGAACAAACUGGAGACAGAGUGGGGAAGCGCUGAGAAUCUCAACAAACACCAUAAGAUAGGAAACACAAGGCCAAAAGAGGGGAGCAAAAAGAAAUACCACAGUGUUGAUGAAUCCACAGCUUCCAAUGGCAAAAGAAUUCAAUUCUUGAUUUCACUGCAUGUAGUGAAUAAAAGCAAGGUAUUCAGCAGACAGUGGAGCUGAAAGAUUGAAGUGAAGAAACAGAGGGGGAGAGAAACAGAGUACCACCACAAUAAUCCCCCCAGAAGUUGAAAAACUAAUCAAGAAAUGCCUAGAUGAUGUUUAGAUGAAUGAAUAUAUUCGCAGACAGAAUAGAGCCCAUCAAGUGAUAGAGAUGAGCGAACACUUACGAAAACGGAAAAGGGGACAAAAGGAGACUCGCCCUAGUGUGGUGGAGGGUUGAGUAGUACAACAAGAUUGGGGUCGGGUCACCCCCAAAAAUGGAAAGGAAAAAGAUACCCAAGUUGGGAAAAUCAGAGAAGGGAAAAUAGGGAAUAGAGGGUUUCGAUAUUUAUAGGGCGGAAGAUAGGAAGAGAGGGUGGAGAAGUCAGUGCCGGCGGCGGAUGUGAUGGUGAUCUGUUUGUGCUCUGUCUCUCAGUGUUUGUUUUGCAGAGAGGGAAAGAGAAAUCCGAAUCGUAAUAAAAACAGAUAGAGAGAGAGCGAGGAAAAGGGAGAGAGGGGGAUGGAUGGUGGAUGACGGUGCUGAUGAUGAUGACGGUGAUGAUGAUUGAAUUAAUGAUGAUGAUGACAGAUACUGAGAGAGAAAGAGAUCAAAUUUCGGGGGAAAACAAAAGGAAAGCUCUUGGCUUUUCAAUUAACUGGGAUUUUUAUUUUUCAAAGAAGAAGAAGAAGAAGAAGAGAAUUUCUUUAAAGUUGGUGGAGUACCAAAUACGACGGUCAAACGAACACAGAUUUCAAGCAGCAGCUGUCUUUUUCACUAUUUUUUUUAAUUAUUUAACCCCUUUUCUUUUUGUUUUCUGUUUUUUUCGGUUCGUGUGGAUCAUUGAUUCCCGGAUCGUAUUUGAUUCGGUUUUUCUUUUUGAGUUUUGUCUGCUCACAGCUCACUGGUUUAAAAUUAAAUGUCAGUUUGAUCACUGGAACUUUGUGUAUAUGUUGGAAUGGGUACUCAAUUUUAUGUUUGAAACAAUUAUGAUGAGAUAAUAUCUUUAAUGGCCAUUGAGCUCUGGACGUUUUACUCAAUAGUCACUAGUCAUUAAAUUAAAUAAAUCAUGGAGCCGUAAUCUACUAACCGAAUGCUAAUUCAGUGGUCACCUCAUUUUAUGAACAUCCAACUUGACACCGAUGUCGUAUCAUCUUAUGUAAUUUCCACUCAUUGUAAGGCUUUGUCAAAUUUGUGAUGAAUAAAUGUUUCAAAAGAAAAUUUGUAUGGGAAGGGUAGGUGUUGGAAGUCAAAAAAGAGACACGAGUUUAUAUGCUAGUGGGAUUUAAAGAUUAGCUAAUGAUGGCUUAUUUUUAAGGUUUUUAUAAUCAUAAUUGAAUAUUAAAUUAGUGAAUUUAAAGGUUUAUAGUCUUAUGAUUUGACCGAUUUAUCCAUGAUUCUUUAUCCCUCUUAUGUUUUGGAGCGUCCGCGGUUCGUGAUAUGUGUUCGGAGUUGUCAAGGCAUAUAGAAGGCGAUGCAACGUUUGUGUUCUUUCCUGACUGUCCCAUGAGAGUAUACGUUGCGUUGCUUGUGGCGCCAUUGAUCAUGGUAGAGGUCUUGACUUUCUUGACGAAUUGUUCUCGUCUCCAUAUCCAUAUUGCAUGUUCAGCAUGCUGCCAACAGAGGACAAACUUAGACUGUAUUAAGACUGAUCUCACAAUCUAACUUAAAUUUUAAAUAUUUUUUAUUUCUAUUAUAUCUUAAUUCUUUCGUCAUGAGCUAUCUAUGACAGAAAAAACACUUUAAAAAAGAAAACACUUUAAAAUUUCAAUCUUCCACCAAUUAGAAAAUCAAUCAUAAUUCAUAAACAUAUUUUGUUGAAUAAAAAACAUGAUUAUAUUACAUGUGGGAAGCCAUUAACAGAUAUGGAUUAAGGGUUGGUGGCAGUGAAUGCCAAUUAAUGUCUUAAAAGGGACAGCUCAUUGGACAAUAGUUGUGAGACGACAGAAGACCAUAGAGUUGAAGAGAGUCAUAAUUUUGACAGAAUUAAUUAGUAAUCUACUUCAUUAUGAUUGAAUAUAACAGCUCACUUUNNNNNNNNNNNNNNNNNNNNNNNNNNNNNNNNNNNNNNNNNNNNNNNNNNNNNNNNNNNNNNNNNNNNNNNNNNNNNNNNNNNNNNAAUAAUUGAAAUGAUGGAAAUGUAACAAAUCGAUAUGUUUUUAUAAUCUUUGUGUACACAUAACACAAAGGUAAACCUAUGACAGCCUACCUCCAUGAAUGAAUGAAGGUGGUGGGGAUGUUGAAAACUCUUACACAAUGGUAAAGAAAAACACAUGAAGUUGUACUAUUUAUUUGUCUUCUCUAGCUGGUUGGAGACUUGGUCAGUACUAUUCCUAUCCUAGCUAGCUAGCCCUAAUUCCCAAGCAUUCAUGAUGAUCCACAACUGUAACUUCAGUUUAACCAUGCACCCACCGUACAUAUAUUAGAAUCAAAUUAUAUCCAACAUGGUAGCAGUACUAUUGUUUUUUCUGAUCUGGACCAUAUUCCAAAAGAAUCUUUGUGCAAUCAUCAGGAAACUAACAAAUUGCAUAUUUUAAACUGUCUUGUUGUAAUAAUAGACUUUAAUUUGUAGAUGUUUCACUUCACUUCACCGAGUGGAAUAGUAUAAUGGUUUGAUUAAGAAGAUGGGAUGCAACUAUUUUGUGACAACAUUGUUCAAGACCCGUUGUUUCAUGAACGCACCCAAAACACAAGAGAUUGUUAUGUGAUAACUGAACACUUGCAGCCUGGCAUGUGUCUACUCAAGUUCAAUUUGUAGAUCCAUUGACUAAAGGUUUGUUUGCACCUCGAUUGCCCAUCUUGUUGACCGUGUCGUUUAGAUAUGUGAUUCGAAAUAGAAGAGAUUUGAAUUAUAUGAAAUUUGGAUAAAACUUGUUACUUUUAAAAUUGAUCAUUUGGAUAAGUGAUUUGUACGUGAAUUUGAAUGCAGUUAUUGUAUACGGAGAAAAUAAAAAGAGAAAAAUACUAAUAUUUUUUUUCAAAGGCAUAUACUCUAUUUAAUUAAAGGAGAGAAGGGUUGCAUAAUAGCUUAUAUCUAAAAUCAAAUGCCCCAAUUAGAAGGAGGGAAUAGAUAGAGCUUUUUUGGCCACAUUAUCGACAAUUCUGUUACAAGUUUUAUGAAUAUGGGAAAACUGGUAUUGUGCGAAGAUAGAAAUCUUUUUCAGGAUAUUCUCAAAAUUGUGCCAUACUUUAGGGGAUUAAUGUUUCGGGCAUUAAGAUGUGAGAUGACCUUCAAAAAAUCACGUUCAAAGAUAACUUUAUAAAAUUCUCUCGCGGUUGCCCAAAAGACCGCUACCCUGAAGCCCAAAGUUUGAACUUUAUUUAUAACCAUAUAAAUUCCAACAAAAAAAGUUAAUUUUUGCUAAAAUUCUCAACUCUUAUAUCUUCUGAAAUUUCUACCGAUUUAUGUAAUUUGAAGUCACGCACGAAACUCUAUUCAGACAUUCAAAAUUACCUCAAAUCUCUUCCAUUUUCGAAAAAGAUGAUUUGAGAACAAAUCACCACCAAAUUUCAAAUUAUUUAUCUAAAUCACUCAUCCAAACUACAAGUAAAUAAUGUGAGAGGUUCAGAUUCGAAAUGUAUCACUGUGGAUACCAAUUCUGUAUGAAUCUAAAAGGAAAGAGUGGCGGGGGUGGAGGUUUCCUUUGGUGAAACAAAACCACAUCACAUGAAGGGUUUCUUUUACGAAUUUUCUUGUUUGGUCACUAUUUUAUUUGUUAUAAAAAUGGUUUCAUAAAUAAUAAUCCAAUUAAUUAAUCCUGCGAAAUUGCGAGAAAGCUGUUAGCUGAUCUGAUCUCUGCCAGCAUCUUUUUUUUUUUACAAAGUGGUCCCUUUGUCACCUUUUGGACGCUUAUCCUCCUCACACACAGACACACACACACUAGUUAUAAGUAAUUAAAUACGUACGUCGUUAGUUUACAUGUAUGUAUAUGCCUAUAUGGUUGGUAGUGUACAUUAUCAUGUACGUAUUCUUAAUCUUUGCACUCCAGCUGGUGAAAUACUUGGUUUGGACGUAGUUUAAUUAUUUUGUAGUCUCAUCAGAUUCAAUUCCUGCAGUCUGAGUCUAAAAAAAACCAUGAAAUAUAUGAAGCCGACAGAAAAACACAUGUACAGUUUGAGCAACCUCAAAGAUUAGUGCACAUGCUUGUCCCGUUAAGGGUGGGGGGGUUUUGCUCAGACUCUGAGGCCACAUCCCAUGCAUCAUGUCAUGUUGUCAAUCAAAUAAAAUUUAAUAAAUAAAUUAUUGUGUGUGUUGGAACGAACAAUACACAUUUACUUUAUAUGCUAAAUAUAUAUAUAUAUAUAUUGUUUAUAAUAUUUUGGAGUAGUCUGCACACUACUACUCCAAGAUUCAAAGAAAAGAGUCCUGGAACCGUAAUUAAGGAUAUGUGAACCAAGUUACAAUAGCCACAAUUGGGAAAAGGGAUAAGUGGAGUUGUUCCGGUAAUAAUAAAGCCGUGUGUGUGAUUCAUUUGGAGGGAUUUCGGGUUAAAAUUUAAAAUAUUUUACAAAAUGAACAUUAUUGUUGUGUUUACUUUUUCGAUUUUGAGAACAAUAUAAUAACCUAAUUCAGAUUUCAGGGCCAUAUUCAGUACGCAUCGUUCAUUCUUCAUUCGCUGCCACUCAUCCUUUUUCCCUUUAUGGAAUGAGGCCCUUAUUUAAUUAUUCUUCAUUGUUUGGGCUUUUUCCUCCACUUAGUUAGGAGGCUACGGCCUCCGGUUGUUUAUACUCCACUCCUCCAAAGCUGCCAACCUGUACGGAUGUCGUCUUUGUCACGAAUUGGCCAUUUGAUGGAAGCGAGUUCACCACCCAUCAGGGUGCUCUUACGGACCGAUCUGGCUGUUGACGAGUCAAGUCACUCGACACAAUAGAUUUGUAAACUGGAUCAAACUCGAAAGCCUAUUCAAAUAUAGCUCGAACAUAUGUAUUUUGUGAUUUUCUAAAUGAAAAUGCAAGUAAUAUACAUUGUUUACGUCGGUAGUAUAGUAUGUUUCUUUUAGCGGUACAUGUUUUUCAUUUUUUAAGUGUAGUGUACAAACUUCAAAUUCAGCUUAUGAGUGGGGUUCAAUGACUGAAGUUUGAGUUUGUCUAGAUUAGUUAACAAGCCAAACUUGAAUAGACCAGAGCUUCGGACGAGUUAAAAUUUUCAAACUCGAGUUCGAACUCGUCUAAAAAGUAAUUGAUCAAGCUUGAGCACAGUAAAACUCACUCAGCUCGGUUCAUAAAGAGCCCUAAUGACGGAUCAUCCCCACUACUUUGUAUUAGAGAACGAUCCCUAUUCCCUACCACUGCACAAGUAUCAUCAACCGCGAUCAACAACCAGUGCGACAAUAAUCCAUACAGGGAUAACUUAUCACUUGGACUUACCACACAGCCUGAGUUUAUGACAUUGGACAUCAUCCCGCUUAACAAAACGUCUAGGCAAGUAUAGAAAAAGUUGAUCAGAAAGCACAAUAAUCAAUUAUGAAGAGUUUUAAGGAUUACAAAACUUUGUCCCUGGCUUUCUAAAUAUACUCGCUUCUUCCAAAGCUAAAAGAUUCCGACCACUUGCGAAUCCUGGAUACUUUCUUCUAUCCUCUUCAUGUAUUAUUCGGUCCCAAACAUGUUGAAACAACUUCACACACCAAAUGUUACACCGCAUCUGAAAAUUCUGCAAAUCCACGCAGGAAAAAAAAGGAAAAAAAACACAUAGCUUACACGAGGCUGCUCUCAAGCUAUAUAGUAGCCCACUUAGUAGGUAUAUCCCUUGACGAACAUGCCGGUCUUGGCUUCAUCGCUCUCUCCCUCCACCGAGUACUUGCCUAGCUGAGCUAGGGAGUUCGCCUUGGCACGUACAAGCAGCGCCUUCUGUGCUGCCUCGACGUUCUGGGGUUGUCCUUUCCAGGUCUUGAGCACACUGUUUUGCAGUGCUCGUGCAUAUGAGAACGACACGUGCCAUGGGUUGGGGCUCUGGUUCAUUGCGUUUAGGUUCAGGGUUGCUUCCAUCUCGGAUUGUCCUCCUGACAAAAACUGACGUGGAAACAAAAAACAAGUUAAUUGAUUGCUUCCUGUACUUCAUAUUCACGUCAAUGAGUUCAAACGUACAAGUGACGGACAGCAUUCAAGGAACAUGAUGCAUAUUUCAUAAAUCCAACUUUCUAAGAUUAGUAGCUAGCGGGUACCAUUCCAUAUCAUUCAUUGUUCAAAGGGAAUAAUGGUUAUAAGAUAUUAUGCCAAAUGAGCAUCCAGGUGUGCGUGGUGGAACGAAGAUUGGCCCUUAUACGAAAGCAUGAGUAAGAGUUGACACAAUCAUACCAUGAUUCCAGGAACAGCAGGUGGUACCGUCCUCUUAAGCAUUGUGAGUGUGUAUUUUGCUAUGGUUUCUGGAGAAGCCUUCUCCUUGUGGUCAGCCCCGGGUGUAACCAUGCUAGGCUUCAAUAGGAUGCCUUCGAAGGUAACAUUGUUCUCGGCCAAGUAGAAAAACACCUCUGACCAAACUUUUGAUGCUACCUCAAGGGUCCUGUCAAACUUGAGAAGCUUGUACUUGUGCUAAAGGAGUAUAAAAUAGACAGAAAUUGAUACAUAGGAGUUUCGAUACCAGAGCUAUACAACUGUAUGGACAAAUUUAGUAGAAUCCACCAUAAGAAAACUUUAGUCAAUAUUGUAACAUUAACGAUAACUCUGUAAAUACAAGAUAUAACUUUCUAUUCACAAGAGAUUUCAAAGUAAAAGAGUACCUGGCAGAUGGAAGCAUAUCGUGCAAGCCCCCAUGCAGCCUCCUUAACAAGCAUUGUGAGUGUGUAUUUUGCUAUGGUUUCUGGAGAAGCCUUCUCCUUGUGGUCAGCCCCGGGUGUAACCAUGCUAGGCUUCAAUAGGAUGCCUUCGAAGGUAACAUUGUUCUCGGCCAAGUAGAAAAACACCUCUGACCAAACUUUUGAUGCUACCUCAAGGGUCCUGUCAAUUCCAUGGUCUCCAUCAAGAAGAAUCUCAGGCUCCACAAUUGGGACAAGUCCACUAUCCUGCAAACCAGAAUCGAGAAUUUGAUCCGUAUUAAGAAACUGAGUGACGUAAUUGUGUAAGCAAUCAGAAGAUGCAUUUAAACAAGUAAAUAUAUAUAUAUAUAUAUAUGAUAAUUCUGUAAAUACAAGAGAUUUCAAAGUAAAAGAGUACCUGGCAGAUGGAAGCAUAUCGUGCAAGCCCCCAUGCAGCCUCCUUAACAGCAAGAGCAGAAGGACCACAGGGAAUGCUCACAACUGUCCUCCUGCAGAUUAGAAUCAUCGUAACAGAAACAUUAACCACCAUCGUUUGGGCAGGAAACACCUUAAUCGAUACAUUUCUGGUCUUUUCUAUCGAGCAGUCUAGUAAAUUCAAGUGGUGAACUAACAACAGAUAUCCAUAACAUAGGAAGAAAGAGUAAACUUACCACUUGGCAAAACGAGCACCUUGCUUGUAAUACUCAGAAGUCCUUGAAGCCAAACCAUCCAAACCCUGGCACCAGGACUCACUGUUCGACCCUGGUAGGGGAACCAAACCCUUACAACAGAAGCAACAACAACAAAAUCAACUCCCAGAGAAUCACUACAAACGCACAGAACCAGAAAAAUCGCAUCAAUAUGGUACCUUGUCAACUUUGAUCCCGGGCACAAUGUUCUGCUCAACCAAACAGUCAACAAACUUCUUGCCAUCAGUAGUAGACUGGUAAAGAGUCUCCUCGAACAGAAUAGAACCAGAGAUGUAUUCACCAAGACCAGGGGUAGUCAACAAGAGCUGCCUGUAAGCCUGCCUGUUGGUCUCAGUGUUCUCCAACCCGAUCGAGUCCAAUCUCUUCCCACAAGUAGCAUUGGAUUCAUCGAUAGCCAGGAUUCCACGUCCGGGGGAAGCAAUCGUUUUCUGAAAAACCCGUCAAAAUUUUCCAAAAUCAGAAAACGACAAAACUCCGAUCCUCAAAAAGAGAACACUAUUCUGAACAAAGAACAAAUAAUGAAUCUCGAUCAAAUUAAUUGAUUAAAAUCGAACUAAAACAGCCAGAGCAUCAUUCCACAAAACAGAACGAAUCAUCAGAGAUGUAACGAAUCUGGAUCAAAUUAAUUAAUCAAACUCAAAACAGCCAAAAACAGCAAGAGAGAAUACCUGACGGAUCAAAAUUAAACACUAGAACCCUAAAGAUUCCCGAUCAAAUCAAUUAAGUAAAAUAGAACUCAAACUGCCAGAAAAACGUGGCACAAAAGAGGAACGCAAAAAAAUCCGAACAAAAUAGAAUACUGGAACCGUAAUGAAUCUGAUCAAGGGAAAAACUAAGCGCGGAAGGGGAAAUCAAAGGUACAGAAUCAAGUCAAGAUCUAGCGAAAGGAAAGAGCGACGUACGGCAGUUUUGACGAGCUCGUCGGGGUAGAGGCUAGCGCGGACAGAGGCUAGCGCGGACGGUGAAGUUGACGCGGGAAGGGGCGAGUCGAGAGGAGCGGGAAGCGAAGGAUUUUUUGCCGACCCAGGUGGAGGAGGCGGCGUCGAGCUUAGUGAAGGUAGCUGAAGACGCCAUGGGAGGAGAUCGGGAUUGGGGGAGGCGGCGCUGGAGAAUGAGAAAGGUGGGUUUGGUGGGAGGGAGGGAGAAAUAUCGUGGGCAGCUGCAGCGUUUUUAUUAUGAGAGGGAAAGUGAAGGUCGUUGCUUACUAUUUUAAAUUUUUUAUUUGUUUCCUCGGUUGGAAUAUGCUUUUUGAUUUCUCUCGGGGAAUCCGCCGCUGGGGGGAGAGCUUUUGACGUGAGCGGAAAGACAACUGGACAACAAGGCCAAGUACGACGACGUUCACGAUACUCACUCCCAACUCACUACAAUAAGUCAAGAACCAUCGGCACAGUUGGUAAAAUACAUCAUGGGUAUAGUAUGGUAUUAACAUGUUUGUAGUUUCUUACGCUUGUUUUAAUAUGACAGUAUAUUUAAAAGCGUGAAAAUAUUAGAAAUUUGUAAUUUUGGAAAUGAAUGUAACUUAAAAUUUAUAAAAUAUAUGAUUUUUUUAAAAAAUGUAGUGUUUUAUAUAUGUUAAGUCCGUGAAGUAUUAUAUAAACAUAAAAAUAUUAUAUAACUUUAUAAUAGUAUUAGAACGGAAUUGUUAAAUAUAUAUAAUAUUAUACAUGUAUUAUAUGAAUAUUAAACGGAUUUUUGCUAACCGGCCACAUUAAUCAAUUAUGAAUGGUUUAAGGUUUUGAAUUGAGUUGGCGAAUCUACAAACACCAAUCUACCCAAAAUAGACAAUCCGGGAGAUCUCAUCGAAGCCGUCAAGUACUGCCGGAGUUUGAGGAACAAUGUAGUAUGUACUAAUGGCGGACAUAGGGGGCAUGCUCGUGCCCUAGCUCAACUCAUUUUCAGAUUUUGAAGUUUGAUACUAUUUAAUUUUUUUUUAAUUUUAGGAACAAUUCAACUUAAUUUAUUAAACCAUUCUACAUCUACCGUUAAUAAAAAAUUGCAAACCUACUUUUUUAAAAUAAAAUAGAAAAAAAUCUUAUUACAAGUUGGAUAUUCGUCCCAACUACAUGUUAGACGGAUCUCAACCGCCCGACUCGUUGUUGAAACGAAUUGAGCGCCUACGAUCGCACCCACAAGUGGGAUUAAUUCGGCCUUUUUAAAACACAGCCUUUGGGUGCGUUGUCUAAGCAGCCAGCCAGCUUCAAUGUGUAGGUUUGAAACUUUGGAUGUAAAAUAGUUUUCAUGUGGUGGCUAUAUAUUUAAAUAUAUCACCUGCAAAAUAAAACGUUUAUCAUACUGUUCAUUACAAAAUUCAGACCCAGCAAAUGUAUAGUAAAAAAGUCGGAGAUUGUGAACUCUUACAGUUCGGACCCAAAAACACCUGCAAAAUGACCAGAUCUGAAGUUCCUGCCAUGGGCUAAGGCCUAACCUUGCAUAUUUGUCACGCCGGAUUUGAACUCGAUAUCUCUAACUUAUGUGCCGUCAGUACAUAACGCUAUCAACUAUACUAGUUUACGUGCACAAUCCAAGAAUACUAUUCAAUCAAGUUUAAUCCGUUAUUGUAGACUUUAUUAUUUAUUUUGGCUCGAUUAGGUUGGUCAUUUCUUAUAGGGCCUAACCAUAGGAGAUAAUGGAUUAGCCGGUAUAAAUAUAUAAAAAAUUCAGAACUUUUACUCCAUCUACUUCACUAAAUUAACAACUAGACUUUUGUAUUAUUAAAAGUUAUUUUCCCCCUUCUUACUCUAUCAACUUGCUGAGUGUCUCCUUUUGUUAUUUUUGCCGUUAAUAAUCUGUUAUGUUUUGUCUAAUCAGCAGUGCCACGUCAUAUAGAUGGCACAUAAUUGCUGAUAAGGUAAUUAUUUAUAUUUUUAAAUCUAACCAAUCAUUUUGUGGCUAGCAUUUUAAUUUUUAACGCCACUCCAAAGUCCAAAUCAUCAAUUGCGUUUCUCCGUUUUCGGUUCCUCUAAACUGCCGCCUCAAUGAGUUCAAUUCCCUCCACCAACACUACAACCCGAUGACGAUUAUCUCCAAUUUAGAAUCGAACCCCUAGCUCUUGCCGAUGGAUUCUGCCCCUUCCUCUCCAUGUACACAAACGGCAAACAUCGGGCGCCCUCGAGUCCAUCACUGGCAGCAUCCUCCACGGCUUCACGGCCGACCCUCCAACCUGAUCUUCACUUUUUUUGUCGACCUCCUGGCCUUCUUAGUAACUCUCCUUUUCCUCUCCUUAAUAACUCUCCUUUUCCUUUCCUUAAUAACUCUCUUUUUCAUCUCCUCCAAUGCGACGUAGACGAUGAUGAGAAGGUACAGCUUGUUGAAACUAUUAUCUAUAAGGCAAAAAUUAAUAAUGAAAGGUCUUAUAGUGUGGGAAAUAAAGUAUGUUUCUUUAAAGAUUGUUGUUUUGUGUUUUUCAUCUAGUGGGCAAGCAUGUUUUUUUUUUCAUAAGUUAGGCAAGGGUUUGUUAUAAAGGUUGUUUCCAGUAACUUGAGAAAAUUAUGAAACUUAGCUUGUGACAUGAUAAUAUUUGAUGACUGAUGGAAAUUCAUUGAUGAUUCUUGUACUGAUAUAUUACAAUACUGUAUUUUUAUUUGUCAAUUUAAAUAUAUAGAAUAGUUUCAGUAAUACAUCAAUCUAAUAUAUUGGAAAUAAAAAUUAUUUUAAAUUAAAAAUGAUAAAAUAACAAAAAUCCAGUCUGAGGCUGACGUGUCAUGCUGAUUCAAUAUGAUUUAACAAAAUAUUGAUGACAAUAAUAACAGAAAGAGAUGUUUAUCAAAUUGGUAAAAUAGGAUGGGUCAAAAACAACAUUUAAUAGUAUAGGGAUCUAGUUAUUACCUUAAUAAAGUAAAGGGGGCAAAAGUAGUAUUAUCUCUUAUAAAAACUGGGGGUACUGAACUGUCACUACCAAAAACUUCAGGCAUCCAUACGUAAUAAAAAAAACCGUCUCAUCGGAAGGAAACCAGACCGGAUCCUGUCCUUUUGACCUUUGGGCACACACCACUUGUAAACUCACUCACUCACUCAACACAGUGAGUUAAGAGUAGUGAGUGACAGAGCGCGCGCAUAAACUCCAUUGCUUUAUAUACCAAAAAGCUCCCAAUACCACCAUAAACCAAAUUCCUCUCUGCCGGAUCGGAGGCGAUCCUUUCCUUCACUUCCUCGCUGCUCUCUUUGCACAGUAGUCGUACACGCGCAGCUCUCUUUGCAUUGCCAUCCGGUCACCCAAAAAAAUGGAGCCGUACGGUCACAACAAGGCAAUCGAUGCUCCGCAGCUCACUGAAUGGAGUCCCGCCGGAGCGGAGACUGGCCUUGAAGGUUAGGCUCCCUAUCUGCAUUGUUUGGUUCCAUUUCGUCCACAUUUUCUGUUUAUAAGCUAUUUGUCUAGUUUGUGUAGGGUUUGGUGAGAAUGCAGUGUUAUAUUAGGGUUUUUCUUAAAUCUAAAUGUGUCUUGAAUGCAGAAUCGAUGAGGGGAUUAGGGAUUUCAAGUAACGAAGCGUAUCCUGAACGUCCAGGGUUCCCCAAUUGUGUUUACUAUAUGCGGACUGGGGCCUGUGGGUAUGGUGGUCGGUGCCGCUACAAUCACCCUCGCGAUCGAGCUGCGGUAUGGCUAAAUGUAUAGAUGAUGUGUCGAAUACUUCGUGCUUUCUGAUACAGAGAUUAUUUAUUGAUGCUGCUUAGGCUGAGGCAACUGUAAGAGCCACGGGGUUGUUUCCAGAACGGAAUGGGGAUCCCCCAUGUCAGGUACAUGAUUUCUAGUUUUAGGUUUGAGUUGAUAUGUAGUAUGUACAUCAACUUUUGAUAUUGCUUGCAUGUACAGUUUUACUUGAAGACUGGAACCUGUAAAUUCGGUGCAUCUUGCAAAUUCAACCAUCCCAAGCACAGAGGUGGAUUCUUGAUCAAUGUUACUCUAAAUACACAGGGAUACCCAUUAAGACCGGUCAGAUUCCCACUUAUCAUUUGAUGCUUUACGUGUGUGAUAUUUGUUUACUACUUACCAUAAUUCCAAAUAGACUGCUACAACUUGUUUCGUUUCUUUGCUUGUUAGGAUGAGGAAGAAUGCUCCUACUAUUUGCAAACGGGCGGCUGCAAGUUCGGUAUAACUUGUAAAUUCCAUCAUCCUCAGCGAGCUGACACAACAUCUGCACCUCAGUUUUAUCAGCCAGUGCAAUCUCCUUCUGCAGCAGCCACAAAUCUAAGAGUGAGGCUCCCUGGUACAUUUAUGCAGGGAACGUACGGUCCUGUAUUGUUUUCUCCUGGGGUGGUACCUAUUCCGGGUUGGAGCCCUUACUCGGUAAAUCGAUUGUCUCUCUGUUUUUGGAGAUUUUUGUAGUGUGUUAAGUGUCCUACAUUAGAUUUUGUUUCUUUAAUAUGGUUUAGGCAUCUGUAAGCCCUGUCCAGUCUCCUGGUGCACAAACUGCUGUUGGAGCAACUUCUCUAUAUGGAGUGACACAACUGACUGCUACAACAUCAGCAGCGCCUCAUAGACCUUAUCCUUCUCUACUGUCUUCUGGUGCUCUCACAAGCAGUACCCAGAAGGAGCAUUAUACAUUUCCAGAGAGACCAGGGGAACCAGAAUGCCAGUACUACAUAAAAACUGGGGACUGUAAAUAUGGUUUGUCUUGCAGAUAUCAUCAUCCUCGUGAUAGAGUUGCACCCAUCACAGAUAGUGUCCUCAAUCCGCUUGGCCUGCCGUUGCGUCUGGUAUGCGAUUUUGUGUUCUCCAAAUGUAAUAUCCUUAAUGAAAACGAUUUAACGAAUGUUAAUCACCAAUUUUCUUAUUGUGAAUUAGGGGAUGCAGCCAUGCAGUUUCUACUUGCAAACCGGGCACUGCAAAUUCAGCUACAAGUGCAAGUUCGAUCAUCCCAUAGGAGGAGGUGCCAUGCGAUACAGUCCGUUGGCUUCAUCCCUGGUUGAUAUGCCUAUUGCAACCUAGUAGGGUCCUUACUGGCUGCCCUUUCCCCUCCUUCCAAUUCCUAUGAACUCAGACCCCAACUCUUUUCUGGACUACCUCCCAGAAAGAUAACAUAUCUGAGCAGGAGCCCUCCUGGUCUUGGACAAUUCAACAGUCCAGUUGGAUUGAUUCUCUCUCAGACUGGACCCCGGUCGCCUUACUGAUUCGCAUCUAUUUUUACAUUUAGGGUUCUAUGAGUUGAAGCUUAAGCAAAUCAGUGAUAGAACGAAUCUACCAUCCCGGAUGUCUAGUUUCUUCACAAGGUUUGAAUAUUCUCAGCAAGUAUAUGCAUAUGGAGGCUUGUGAUGGUACUUCAUACUUUCCUGCAUCUUAGUUUCCCUCUGAAAUAUCUGAGUUUUAGCUCCAUAAUGCUUCGCAAUGAAUUGCAAGGAGUCCAUUUACUGGACUUGAAUUAUUGGCCUACAACUUUGUAGCUUACACGUCCUCGGAUAAACUCCCUUAGGAGGACAAAUUUUACAACAUGGAAAAAUUGUACUGUCACGAUUAGAAUCUGAAGUACAGUUUGCAAAUUUAUGCACCCAGAAAAGAAAUUUAGAGCCUCUGCUUUCUGAUGAUGAUGCCAAGAAGUAGAGAACGUAAGUCUGAUGGGACGAGAAGUGUCGCAUAAACAAAAUGUGUGGUGAUCAAACUGGGACUCCUAGUUCAGAAAUCUUCAGAAUCUGCUUAUCUAGGUCUGUUUUCUGCUUUUUCAAAUUGGAUGCCAUUGAAGCCACCUAAUUCACAGGAGUGGGAGAGUGAACAUAUAGAUAGAGAAGAAAAGGACUCAUAAAUAAACGAUGAUGCCUACAUAUUUACUAAACUCACCUCAAGUCGUAGUUUCAGGGCUUCUCUUCCAGGGAUUUCUCGCAGACCAUCCACCAAAUCUAUCAUACAUACAAAAUUGCAAUAGCAUGAGUGCUCAAGCUUUCUCAAGACGAGAUUCGAAAAAUCAAUUAGUUCUUUACAAGGGGAGUUUGGUCACUGAGCUGGAAGAACAUGUUAGAGCUAGAAUGUUUAAGUCUUAACCAACAUAAUCUUAUGACCAUGGUAGUAUUACCAGAAGCCUGCCGCUCAACCUUGUAAACUGAUUUAGCUAGACUUCUUAUUUGAUUUCCUGCACCCCUGCAUGUACAAACAACAAUUUUCAAACAAGUAAGAAGUAGCAGCGUGCACAAGAGACUGAAGAACUUUUACAUGAGCUCGGCAUGGCCAUGUUUUAUGUCUUUGUGAGCUAAAGCAGCCCUUUCAAGCAACUUUUGGCUGUCCUUCUUCAUCUGAUCAACAGACACACAGAAGUCUUUAACAUUCUUCUCAGCUCUAUGGAAUCGUGACUGCACAAGACAAAACAUAAACCCAACCCGUCUGGUGAGGCAAAACAAGUUCUCAAUAGCUGAAGGGGAGAUUGCAAUAGUGCUGGUACAGGAAAAAGAUGGACACCUCCUCAGUCUCAAAUCGACCCCAUGUCUGCCGCAAUAGAAAUCUCCGUGGACCUGGUGAUUGAAAUAUCUUCUAACAUGAGUAAACAAUGAGCUAAUUCAUCUUGUUUAUACCACAAUGUGGGUAGUUAUGCUUUUUUUAAAGGUCAAGUAGUACAACAAUUGGAACUAUUGAUGAUUAAUUCCCAUUAUUCAACUAGCUAAUGACGACAUUAUGAAGAAAUAGAUUCUAUAGUCGAUCCCAGUGCAGAUGAUUUCGUUUCAAAGACUAAAUUACCUCGCAUGAGAAUAAGGGAAGAGGCGAGCACAACUCCAAGAGAAGCAACUGGGUGUUCUUUGGAAGUGGCUAGUCCAUCUGGAGAGAAGCAAACAAUCGAUAAACAGAAACAACGACCAAGUUAAAGAAUGAAGCUACAAAUUAGUGUAAGGAAUACCUUUUAGUUUGGUGAAGAGAGCAUCUUCAUAAGUCCUCAAAUUAGAGAUGGCACGAGGCACGUAACGAUCCUAAAGCACCCAACUUACUUUGUAAGUUAUCUGAACCAAACGGACAGUGAUAAAAAAGUGUACACAUAACAUGUAAGCGAGACCCGAAGGUAACCUGCAGGUUCUGCAAAUGGUAUGAGGAGCAUCGCCGAAAGCCAUUGGCAGAGCGUAUUGCCGAAUCCUUUGAUUCUACUACCGACUUCUGCAAAUCGUACACCCAGUUACCGCUUGCUCCUGCAGCUGUUGCAUUGUUCAUCACAUCUUUGCCUGAUUUGGCCACUUCUUCUACUUUCCCUCCGACAAUUGAAAAUUCGUUGCUGUUUUGGCUUUCGACAAUUGCAUCUCCCAUCCCUCAGCUUCACACCUCUUUCACUUUGCUUGGCUCUUCUGUUGGAUUAGAUUAAGGCUCACUGCACUCUUUCCUUCAAAAAGUACGGUAUAAAUAAGAAUGAGCUCAAUUGCAGAUAGCAAGCAACUGAGAAUGAAGCAAACGCUAUUCUGAUCAGCUGCAAACCAAAAUGCAACAAUCCUAAAUCCAUAAUCUAGUGAAUUGAGAAUGGAGCUUCACCCGUGCCCUUCUUACAUGCCAUUUCUUUUCUUUUUUGUUGUAAUUUUCCUUAUUCUUUACAUAAUGAUGUUUCUACCACUAACGCAAUAGCUGAUUUCAAAACCAACUAGAUGCAGAGGUGAUGAAAUUUGCUUUGAAAACAAGCAGGGAAAAAAGCCACGAUAAAAGAAUUCGAUUCAACUGCAGAACAAAAUACGAAAAAAUCGUAUUGAGAUCGAAACAGCAGAGAAGAUUGAGACUUUGGGGAAAACACGCUGCGAAUUCAGAUUGGAAUCCGGUCAACCAAGGCCCGUGUGAGUAAGCAGCAGAAAGAGGAAAGCGGUGAUGAACAAUAUGUCUGUACCUGUUUUUUGUGCGAAGCGUGAGAGAUAUGAAUUAGUAGGUGGCCGGCGUCGGAAUAAUCUUCCGGGGACGAAUCGAUUGAAUCAAUCUUCCGGUGAAAAGUUAUUUGUUAAAAUGAAAACCUAACUACAAACAAGGGCGAAAACGAGAGAAACGCCAGAAGAAGAAACAAUUUGGUGUCGGAGCGAAAGAAGUGGAUUUCCGAUAAGACCCAUUACCCGACCCGAAAUUGUUGGUACCCAAGGGAAGCCCAAUCGACUAGCGGCAGACGUGACCGUUUAAGUACUAAAGCGCAUUGGGAUUAGACGGGAACGUGAAAAACACCGCAAUAAUAGCAUCUUGUGCCCAACUCAAAAUUUCAUUUGAAAUCAAACUAAGUUGGGAAAUUUCAAUUAAAUCAUAUUCAAAAUGUAAAGAUAAUGUAGGAUUGCUGAUAAAAAAUAUGUUAUAGAUUAAUUAUGAUCAAGGUUAACUAAGAAAUUAAUAAUUCGGUUGUUUUUUUAAUAGAUAUGUUCGACUUUAUUAUUUAGUCCCGAUUCAACAUCUCACUGGCGAUCUCAGAAUAGUGUUGGUGGGUGAGCUCACUGUCCCCCACCAGACACUGAAUCGCAGCUUGCGAAUCCAGCUACACCGGUACUUUCCUCUACCCUUUCUCCCAAACUAGCUAUAACCCUGCCACUACAUCUCUCGACUCGGCCCUUGCGAUCGAGCAGAUCUCGAUGUUCAUACUAUAAGCUUCCAAGCAGCAACCAUCAACAUCACGGAACAAGCCUCCUGCAACUGCUCAUUCGGUCUCAAGAAUAAUAGACACGUUAGAGUUGAGAGCAGAUUGUAUUUUUUAUAGAUUGUGCACCUAACUAGUAGUGAAGUUUCGGACAAAAAUUAGACUCUCCCAUCAAUGUUUUUUUAACUAGAAAAAGCAAAGAUGACAUUAUAAGAAAUAGGAAACGAAAGAAAUAUAAUAUCAAUAUCUAUAUGUAGGAUGUGCUUGACUCAAAACAUUCAAAAAUUUAAUAAUUUAUGCAGAAAACUGUAAAAAGGUUAGUUGUCAUUUAAUUUAAUGGGAACUGAUAUAUACUCCAAGAAUCUAUUGUGCUAACAACACAUAUUUAACAACGGAUAACAAUCCGCUGUUAAACAUAAAAUUUAACGGCGGCUAAUGGUUAAUUUAACAGUAAAUUCAGUAUCGUCGUUAAAUUGGAAACCUAACAGCAGAUUUUCCAUGCCAGAUUUUCAGACGCGCGAACCCCCGCCAAAGAGAAACAACGUCAUCUCUUGUCAGUUUAACAACGGAUUGUAUCCACUGUUAAAAUCACCGUUGUUACGCUACUUUUAACAGCGGAUUAAACAAACCGUUGUUAAAGUGGAUGAGGAUAUCCAACGGCAGCAGUUUCAAUCUCAUUCUUUCAAUCUCAAAAUAUACAACACCCACACACCCACAAAAAAUUCCAUCACAUCUUCAAUCAUCGCCGCCCAAAGGCUUAAUUACUGCUUUCUACUAGAGAUCGAGUAGUGUGUCUCUUAAAAUAAGACAUUCAAGUUUCAAACCAAUCGGACGAAGGUCAUGCAUAUAAUCUUGGAGAUUUCAUUCAUUAGUGACAAGUUUGAUAUCCAACCGUAAACAAUCAAGCUAGGGACUUGAAGUUUAAUUUUUGUUAUAGUAAAGUUAGAACAUGUAGAGAAACCUCAAGAAAAGCGUAAAUCAGAGGAAUCUACAAAUACAUGAUCUGGAUAUGAUAGAUUGUCCGGUCGUCUGUGGGGAAUUAUAGAUUGCCAGGUAGCUUGCGACCAAUCAUUCAUAAUAAAGCUGGAAAGAGGAAUCAUAAUAUCAUAUGGUCGGGAAUUAAAGUUUGCUGGAGAAAUGACAGAGUUGGAUUAUAUGUAUAUAUAUUGCACAAAAGUAGUGAAUAUGCAACCAAGGAACAAAACUUGUAUGCAAAAGGAAAGCUUGCCAUAUUUUCGCAUGCUUCAGAUCAGGCUGCUGCACCAAUGCACAGUGUAGCUAUCAUUUCAUUUCUUAAUUCUUACGCCUCACCUUAUUAUCAUUGUUGUUCAUGGCUCUGAAAAUGACAAUUCACAGACCUCCAAUGAUUAUGCCUUUCAUUCCAUGUGGCUGUUGAAAUUAACUGAUCAUCAUUUUCAGAUUUUUCCUGGCCUACUUUGAGUUUUGUGAAAAAGAGAAAGCUACCAUCUUCUCAAGUGUUGAAAUUGGAGAUUGAUUGGCAUAUAAAAACCAUCCUAAACCACCCAACUUUUAAUAGCUAUGUAACGUAUCUGAACCAAGCUGACAUACAUACAGUGAUGAGGUUGGAAAUAUAUGGAGUAUACAGCUGUGUACAUAUCCCAGGUAGAAAAGAUUUAUAUGUACAGCGUGAUCAGAGGGCUAAAUAAGAUCCUUGGAUUUUGAUCUAGCUGUAUAUGGUGUAGUGAUGUUUUAACUGCCGAAUAUUGAGAGUAAAUGACAUAGAUCCAUGAUGCUUGAAAUCCAACACUCUCCAGUACAAACUAAGAAGGUAGAACCAUAUCCCAGGGUGGUAUGGUUGGUGAGGUUUGCUUAAUUAUACUGUAUGUGGAUAUAUGUUCGACGUAUUAAGAGAAAAUAUAUAUAUAAAUGUGACGCGUCAUGUGUUUGUUAGACAAUCGCAUUUUUCUGCAUCAAACUAUUAUGAGUGUUGUGUUGCUGGCUGGAGAGUGUUGUAUGUUGUACCAAGGAUAAAAAAAGCUAGAGUAUGGUAAACACAAGUGAGUUGGAUUUUCAUAGGGAUUCUCCAGAAAACAAAAGUCCGAAAGAAGAACCGGCCGAAAAACUCCCCAGAACAAGAAGCCAUCAUAUUCAUAUCAGACUUUGCACCUAAACAACACAUUCAACUGGGGAAGUGAUAAUCAAGCAUCCGAUCUCGAUCACAUUGUCUACAUCCGGAGCGUGAAAAUUAGUGACAUGUAUUGAUGAUGAAGAGUGACAAACAGUGAAACUAGCGUUCCAAUAGUACUUUUUCCAUUGAACAGAAUUGAAGAAAUACAUAUUGUGAAUGAGAGAUAGGUGUAAGAAAUGCAUGCCCAGCAGCUAGCUAGCCCAUCAAAUCUGAUUGCAGUAGCAGCAGCUUCGUAAUGCAUUUCUUACAUCCCAUAUCUUACGACAACAUAAUUAUGCAUUGCUAACUAGCUAGAGCCAAAUCUAUAGCUAUAUGACGACGACAUUAUAGAGUUACGGGAGUAGUAAUUAGCUAGCUAGUUUAUAAGAAAAAAAUUAGAUAGGUAAAGUAGGUAAUUAAUCGGACCGGUACCCUCAAUUCCCCUGUGCAAUGCAACGAUGACACUCUCCCACUUCUGCCCACCUAGAAACUAGGGAGAGUGUAGUUGCAAAGCCAAUUUGCUUGUGUUUCCCUUUCUUUCUCUGUGUCGCCGCAAAGAUUCUCUGUUCCCUUGCAGCUAGUGCUGGCCAUGGUCGGCAGACACAGUUGAUGAACGUGUAUCUGCCGAUCACGGCCCUUGCUAGUUAGAGCUGCAAUGAUGGUUUUGUUAGAGGAAAGGUUAACGUGAAUGCUUCUUGAGGCCAAGGUAGCAUGGCCAAAAGCAGCAGCAGCAACAUGAUAUCAAAACUUAGGUAGGUGGGAGUAUAGUAGUUCAAGAAAAUGGGAGGGAGGAGGAAGCUGCCAAGUGUGGAAAAGAGUAGGAGGAUAUAACACAAGGAGUCUGUAUAUAAAGGCGUGAUUGCAGCGUUUUGGUCCAAUGUGGCCUGUGCUCUGUGGACUCGUAUUUUUUUCUAAAAUAUUUAUUGAGUGAUAAAAUUAGGUGUCUCGUCACCAAUAAAAGAAUCCUACAUACAUAAGGGGUUAGUCAAUAAACUUUUUACUUUUCCAAUUUUCAAUUUGAAUUUGUCGCACUUAAAAAAUACCUACUAAAUCAUUAUAGUGAUUACUAGUCAUGUGUAUAAAAAUCUAUUAAAAAGUCAUAAUUAUUUUGGAGAUGACAUUAUACAAAUUUUUAAAAUGUAUAAAAAUGUGACUAAUUUUUUAAGCAAAGUGAAAAAAUACUCAUUUAUUAAUCAUGAACUUCUAAACACAAAUUGUCUUAAAAGUUCAGACAUAUAUAAAAUGUGGAAUGACCUCACAUCUGUCACUAAACACGAGUAAUUAUAUGAUUAUAGUUGCACACUAGUCUAACUCAUCUUCGAAAACACUAGUAAAUCGUAACGAAUAGAGUCCAACUUAUUCAAAAGAAAAAAAAACAAUGAAAAAGGUCAUAAGUUAUUGAUGAUUGCUUUCUUUUAACGAAAUAUACAUAUACAGUGUCUAGUAUUGCUUGUUGGGAACUUUAGGAAAAGUGAUGUUGAAAUACUAAUAACUUGGUCCAAGUAAGAGCAUGUUUGUGGGGAAUGAAAAUAACUGCACUAACCCGAUUCUCGAGGCUACCCCAUUUGUAGUUUUCGUAUUCACACACACAUAUAUUUAACUACUCCUAAAAAGUAAACCAUAAUUGGAUUUUUUUUUUCAUUUUAAUUUUUUCAUUAGUUGGACUAUUGACUAAUGUAGUUAUGGAGAUCGAUAUAUCGAGUUGGAAUCCUAAUUUCUCUGAGAAAGAGAAGUAGUAAUUUAAAUUUCGAAAAAAUGAUAUUUGUAUAAUGUGUUAUUCGAAAAGUGGUUUGUCGGAAAAGGUGUGGUGAUACAAUUUCUUUCACAUUUAUGUGGAAAUUGAGAAGUGAGAACACAGUUGCACAUUUACACUAAAAUGAAUCGUUGGAAACAAAGAAGAUAAUUAGUUAGAUAUUGGGAACAAAGCAUGCAAUAAAUAUAAUAUUAUUUUGGUAUAUAAAAGAGAGCAUGCAGAGUAGGGCACACGAUCGCUGAGCUCGAGACAGAGUGGGAAACGAAAAGCAGAGUAGUGAGUGAUAUAAUAGAACAACUUUUUAGAUUAAUUGCCAAAUUAUUGAUGAGAGAGUUAAUUAGUUUAAGUUUUUAACUUUCCAAUUUCUGGAAAUUAGAGCUCAUUUGCAUGGAAGGAUGUGCAAUCUGAAAGCUACGUGCAGCUACGUCCACUAUUAUUUCUUUCUUUUUCUGUGUAAUUUUUUGUUUUUUUCUUACAUGAAUGGAUGGAUGAUUGAACAAUUAUGCACUGUUUAUUAGACAACUCUACGUGGGAUUUGUUACGAAUGUUGGGGAUAUUGUCAACUUUCGCCUAAUCUCCAGUCCGGCCUGGGUGCUGAAAUCCAUUUUUAUCCAACGGUAGUAGUGGGUCCAAUAGAUUCAACGGUCAAAUGCGUCCUAACUUGUUUUUUCUUUUUAUAUCAUAUUUUUUAGACUCGGGUUUGUUUUAAAUUGAAUUUUGGGUUUUGGUCUUGGAUUUUUCAUUUUUAGUUUUAAAUUUUGGAUUUGGUUUAGAUAAAAAAAAUCAUAUUCAAUUGGGUUUUAAUUUUAGGCGUUGGAUCAAACUUAAAAUUUAAAAUUUAAAUUGAAAAUCUAAUACUCUAGAUAUAGGGUUGGUAUACAUCACCCAUGACUAGUUUUGUUAUAAAAUUUUGUAAUGUGCUUGUUUUGUUCCUAUAAUAUUGGGUUCGAGAGGUUAUGUGUAUGAACCUGAUAGACCAACUCUAGGCCCACCCUCGAUGUCACCAAGGUCCAACCGCAAUUCUCGACUCAAUCCACAUUUCGUUGAUGAGUACUGAUGCGACCCAUUCGUCCAGGAGUCGGCAUUGCUUGCAAUACUAGAAUAGAUUUCCAAUUCAAUAGUUUGUUUGAACUCUUUAUUCGGUUAUGCUUAGUCGAUGAAGGAGAGGAAUGUGGGAGGUUAGUUCUCCAUUCUUAGGAGUAGCAGUUCAGAGUUGCUGCUCGUCUACUGUUAUUUAAGUUCAUGAGAUAAAUGGACUAAGCAAACAUUAGUAAUUUUAGAAAUCACCUGGUUAUUUUUGUCAAGAAAAUAGAACCCGGUUGCUGUAUUUUCGACAUAUUUUUUUCUAUUAUAAACUAUAUUUUUGUGUGUCGAAAUAUAUUUAAAUUUAGAAUUUUGAGUACAUGUUUGGUUCUCUUGCCCCUUGGGGCCGUGUUAUGGUGUUUGAUAUGUUUUUGGUACAUUUCAGGUGUCAUAUGACGUUUAGAGAUGAGCCAUAACAUGACGGGGAGGCCGGAACAACUCAAAACGUUCGAAUUGGGAAGAAAACGUCACUGUUUAGUAUUUUGAGCAUAACUCAUCAAUCGGAAGUCCAAUUGAUGCAAAGUCAGUGACGUUGGAAAUAUAAUUCGAUUGUCUACAACUUUUAUGUUGACGCCAUGGUCACAUUCCAUAUACUUAAACAACACGUAACGUUCUUAAAGAACACGACCGUGUCAUUUUCUCUUGAAAGCAACCGGAAAGCUUCUGUUGGAAGGAGCAUGCCCGUGUCCUUUAGGAACACGGCGUGUUCCAAGGAAUAAGACUUGAUCUUCUAGGACACGACGUGUCCUUCCUCCAGACGGGUUUUACCAAACAUUUCCUUCUCCAAUUCGAAAGAGAAGUCUAUAAAUACCCCCGAGACCCCCUAUGUUUUUCCAGGCUAAACCUUUUGUGUGGUUUGGAUUAGAUGAAACUUUAGCUUAACUUUUGAAUGGAUGAUGGGUUUCUAAACUUUUGAUAUUGCUAUCGAUGUUAUUCAAGAUUAUCGUGUGUUCUUGCUAAACCUAAUUUCAGAUUCAUUCUCGUUUGAUAAUCUUGAUGGAAUCAUCGUCAUUGAUUUGUGGGUCCGAGAGGAACAUAAUAGAUUGAUAGGUCAAUUAGGAAGAACUCUAGGUUACUCGUUAGCUCGAGAGAGGAGCGUUUAAUCUAGUCUUUUUGCAUCGUUUAUCGUUGUGGCAUUUUCAUGGAACACCUUUAAUGCAUUCUGCUUGGGUGUAGAUUAGCUUGAGAAGUGAGUCUAUUGAUUACGAAGAUGAAUAUGAUUUGGGAGUAUCAUUUGAAGUAGUAGAUGAAGUGGUAGAAGAGUUAUCUUUCUCUGAAGAUUAUCUAAUUGCUCGAGAUGGAGAGUUAGAAGAGUUUGAAAGGGAGGAAGUGCCUUUCCUUGAAGACAACCUAUUUUUUCACGAUGAGGAAUUAGAAAAAUUGGAAGAGGAGUUUGUGGAAGAGAUGUGGGAAGAUGAAGAGCCUCUAUAUAAGAUGAAGAGCCUCUCUAUAAUGACAUUCAAACUACCAUCGAGCAUUCAAUCAUUUGACGUCCCCCUCCAAUUGUGGUCCCAUCAAGAGAAACUGAGACCCUUCUUGAUUCUUGUUUGGUUAUGAAGUACUUAUGUCAGAAGAUUGAUAAUGAGUGCUUCACACACAAGAUUCGAGAGGACACUAUCUCGGAACCAGACCUGCUUGCCCUAAAGGACUUCUCAAGCUACACCAUCAAAAUCAAGGAUAGUUGAGGAUACCAGUGUCGGCACGCCAUACUACCUCUUCCCUCCUCAAGAAGUGGCGACCAUGAAGAGAUUUCCACUUCAAGGCAUGAAUUGGAGCUCACAACCACGUUACCGGCUUCUCCAUCAAUCUCUUAGGGUGCUACUUGGGAUUCAACUCCAAUCCUUGAAGAAAAUAAUAGAAUUGAAGGAGGUUCUAAGUUGGACGGCCUAAUUCAGGUAUCGUCUAGCUCAAAGACGUAAAAGAAAGAGCGCUUCUUGGGAGGCAAUCUGAGCAUUGAGUCUUUUCUUUUAUUUCAUUUUUCAUUUUGAGUGUCGUGGUGUGUCUUGUGCCGAGUCUGUCAAGUUUGGAUGUAGAAGUUUGUUAUGUUGUGAACCUCUUAUUUCUUUUGUUUCUCUCUGGCUGUAGAACUCUAAUCCUAUCCAGAUGAUGUCUCAAUCUCAUGCCACGACUGAUAGGAGUUUUGAUCCUCGCCUAGACUCUACGUGUGCUCACUAUCGUGAUCUCAAAUUUAGUACCAUAUUUUCUGACCCUGUCUCACUUGAUUGUUUGGUCCAUUAAGGACAAUGUCUUAUUUAAGUGUGGGGUGAAUUAGGAUGCUUCUAAAUUGAUGGGUACAUAACUUGUGAGUUAUAUUGCUGAAUUGCUUUCCUUACUUUUCGAAACUCCCUCUUGAGCUUAGUUUGUGGAUGUUAGUGAACGCAUGUUUAGUGUUCUCAUUCUAUUUGUGGAUGUCUUGGAUGUUAGGAUGUCCUUUUUGAACCACCCACAAUUUGGCCAAAAUUAGUAUACUAGAGACUCAUAUAUAUGUUAAAAAUAAAUUUCUACCUUCCACUGUUUUGUUCAAUGUUCCAGUAGAGUGUAUGUGUAUCCACCCAACGAAUUUGCCUAGGUUGUUAUGAAGCUUAAAACGGGCGGCAGUAGUCUGAAUGAGGCUGCUAAAAUAAAAUGUCGUGGGGGUUUAAUUGCAACUGAAACACGUAGGGUGACACUAGAGGUCCGCCAUCUUUCCAACCUUUAUGAGGCUUGGGUCGUGGGCCGAAAACUGGUUACUUCCAAGUCCAGCUGAAUUUGCGAUUAUUUCCCCAUUUAGAAAAAAGGCCAUAUCUAAAAAAGCAAUAAAGAAAGAAAAGCAAACAAAGAAAAGAAGCAACAUUUCAAUAUUUGAGCUUUGUUUUCAGUAAUCUGUAGAGUUAGAUAGUCAAUUAAGCAACUCAAAAUAAGAGGGAGGUGUUAGCAUAACUUGAGUGCUAUUAAAAAUUGAAACACCUCCUCCCUCAGGACGGAAGAGAAAUCCCGGCCAGGACGAGCUGUCAGUCUGUUAUUUUCGCUGGCAACUAGAAGGUAUAAGUGUUUGGGGGAUAUGGAUACACUCUGGUUGUUAGGUGUCAAAUCAUUUAUAUCAUAUGCAUGAGUCUAUCUUAUACUAAUUUAAAGGAUUCAGUGUCUCAUGCCUAAUUGUGUGGUUUGUUGAUUGAAUUGCAUUUAUGAACACCAUGAUAGAAUUAAGGACCUGAGCUCUGUCUUCCGAUCACUACAUGUUGAGUUCUUUAUAGAGAGCGAUUAUUAGAUUUGCUUGAGGAAAAACAUGCAUUUAAGUGUGGGGUGAUUUGAUGUGCUGUAUUUUUAACACACUUUUCUCGUUAUAAACUAUAUUUUUGUGUGUCGAAAUUCAGGAUUUUGAGUACAUGUUUGGUUCUCUUGCCCCCCCCCCCAGGGGUCGUGUUAUGAUGUUUUGGUACAUUUCAGGUGUCAUAUGAUAUUUAGAGAGGAAGCAAGACACGACGGGGUGGCCGGAACAACUCAAAAAGUUCGACUUGGGAAGAAAACGUUACUGUUUAGUAUUUUGAGCAUAACUCAUCGCUCGAAAGUCCAAUUGAUACACGGUCAGCGGCGUUGGAAAGAUAAUUCGAUUGUCUACAACUUUUAUGUUGACUCUAUGGUCACAUUUAAUAUAUUUAAGGAACACGGCCAUGUCUUUUUCUCUAGAAAGCAACCUGAGAGCCUCUGUUGGGAGGAACACGGCGUGUCCUUCUAAGACGUGGCGUGUUCCUCCUUCAGACGGAUUUUCCAAACUUUUUCUUCUCCAAUUCGGAAGAGAAGCCUAUAAAUACUCCCGAGACCCACUAUGGACGAGACAUACUUCAUUAUACACAUAUUUUCGAGCUCUUAAAGAGAGCUAGGAUUACAGAGAGACGAUUGAAGCGAGAAGAUCAACUACAAUUGACAAAGGGCGAAUCAUCAAGUCAAAUAUUGGGAUUUCCACGAAGAACGUGUCGUCUUCUUCGGUUUUUCUUCUCUUCUCUUGUGAUUUAUUUUCUGAAACAAUGAGCGGCUAAACCUUUUGUGUUGUUUUAAUUAGAUGGAACUUUAGCUUUGCUUUUGAAUGGAUAAUGGGUUUCUAAACCUUUGAUAUUGCUAUCGAUGUUAUUCAAAAUUAUCGUGUGUUCUUGCUAAACCUAAUUUCAAAUUCAUUCUCAUCUGAUCAUCCUGAUUGAAUCAUCGUCAUUGAUUUGUGGGUCCGAGAGGAACAUAUAUUGAUAGGUCGCUUAGGAAGAACUCUAGGUUACUCAUUAGCUCGAGAGAGGAGCGUUUAAUCUAGACUUUUUGCAUCGUUUAUCGUCGUGGCAUUUUCAUCGAACACCUUUAAUGCGUUCUGCGUGGGUGUAGAUUAGCUCGAGAGAGGAGUCUACGGUCGAGCGGAAUAGAUCAUUAGAGGCGCGAGAGUGAUCUAAGACUAUCGUAAGAAAUCUCCAAACCAUUAUAACUUGAAUAAUUGAGAUUACAUAUCGUUCAUCCAUGCAUUGCUAGCUAUUGUAGGUUCGAGUCCAAACAACCUUCAUCUAAUAUUUGAAACUCAAUUUCUUGCAUUUUGAUUUGUUUUAUUUCAGUCAUUAGUUUAUAAUUGGAUACAUAAGUAAUCGUUCACUGUUACUUGAUUUAAUUAGCUUAAUCAAUUUGAGUAAUAGCAUUAAAAAGAUCCUAGAAAAAUACGAGUCCAUUCAUUCAUUUUAAUGAAUAUUUAAUUAACGGGAUAAAAAUCCGUUUUUCAUUCCUAUUCGUUAUUGCAAUUCAUUCGCUUAUCAGAACCAUUAUUAAAUUACCAGUUGCCAUCCAAAACGAAACUAUUGUCUCCCCCUGACUAUUUUCAUCCUCUAGAUCAUUUUUGGAAAGCUAACAGUAAAUCAGUCGCACAAUGGGUAUUUGAGCACCUGGAUUUUCCUUUUUAAUAUAAUUAAGCAAAAACCUAGAUUGAGUCAUGGGAAGACGUGGUGAUGAGUUGGGAAUUGGGUGUGAAAGUCACAUUAAAUUUUAACUUCCAAAUAUUAAAUUAUAAAAUUAAAUUUUUAAUUGUAUUUCAAACUUUAAUUUUUUAUCAUAAAUAUAUAAUAGUAUCUUAAACCCUAAACAUUAAACAAUAACCUAAAAUUUUUUAAUUUUAAACAUAACAUAUAACAAAAAUACAACAGAGUGUAUUGUGUACACAUAAAUACUAAAAUCUUUUUCAUGUAUUUAUUAUUUUUAUUCAGCAUUUUAAUUAAUCUUUAUACUUAUAUAAUGAUAAAUAAUAGUAUUUUUACAUGACAAGACAAACGGCUGUUAUCACAACAUGUCCAUCCGGUUCAGGUCGGACACCACAGUCUGAAGGGCUUUUUUUAAUACAAUCAUCCUGAUAUAUAUCAGUCAUUCAGUAAGGCUUCUUACAUACGAUCAAUUGUGCAUGUGAAACACAAAUGAUGAUCACCAAUCAUCAUCCAAUGAUGCCAAAAAAAUGUGAACUAUUUGUGGCAAUGAUGGAUGAUACAUUCUCACAACAGUGGAAUAAAAGACAAAGGGUAAAGUAUUGAGUUGAAUUUAAUAAAGUUGUCAAACCUUGCUGGCCGGGGGGGGGGGGGGGGGGNNNNNNNNNNNNNNNNGGGGGGGAAAGAUGGUGAUGGCAGCUUUGUCAAUGUCCACUGUCGACUGAUCGAUCCACUUCAACAAUUUAACAAAUGACAUUAUUAUCGGUCCAAAUGAUCACUUUCAAUCGGUUCAACCAAUAAACCAUUUAUUAAUGGAGGAGUAGAAUCGGUUGAGUAGCGCAUUUCAACUUGAGUGGCCAGGGCUGUUCCUAACAAGGACGCAUGGUGCCUUAGUAUUUGUGUGUGAGGGGCCGGGUAAGGCGGAUAUGGAUUAUGUGCGUAAAUUAAAGUGAAUUUGUAUGAAUAAUUUGAUAAUUUGUAUGAAAAUGUAUAAUUUGUGCAUGCAUUAAAUGAUUUUGUCUCAUAAUAACAAGGGACUUCACCCUUGUUAAUUCAUAGCCGGCCACUUUCAUUAGACAAUCACAAAUUAAAUAUGAUAUUUUGUGUAUGUUAUUUGAGGUAUGUUACGUUUUUAAGUUUACUAAUAAUUCAUAGAAAUAAGUUAAUAUUUGAAUUGGUUUUGAAGUUCGAGUUCAAACCAACCAACAAGCAUAUUGCAAGUCGAACAUAUCCUAAUUCAAUUGUGAUUUAUUCAAAAUCGAAUCAAAUUACACAUAAACAUUUUUCAAAUCGAAUGCCAAGCUCCUUACGAGCAAGAACAGCCCUGAUAAUUGAGAAAUUAAUACUGUACUAGUAGAAUGAAAAAAGGCACGACAUUGGCUUUUUGGGUGAAAUGUAAAAUGAUGGAAGAAAGGAAGGCGAUCAAAUGGGUACAAGCCCUAGAAAUAUGAUUUUGUAUGUCGAAGAAUAUCCACUUUACAUCAAAGCUUUCUGCUUGCUUUAAUGCCAAGUCCGCCAUUGGAUUCCUUUUCCAAUGGUGUUUGCUAUUAUUUCCAUCUCGUUAAUUUAUCAUAUUCUCUAAUUCCCACCACCUACAUACAUGAUACAUACACAUCAAUGACACAUGCAAUGCAUCAUGGUGAUGGAUACUAAAUUGUGUGAUAAAGUGGUGCAUAUAUGGGGACUGAGUUUUCUUCUUUCUUUCUUUCUUUCUUUCUUUUGUUAUUUGGUUGCUCUCUGUUCAAAGUUGACUCUUGUUUGUUUUGCUUGCUUUUUCUAUACUCAUUGUCGCUGCACUGCAUGCCGAUAAUAUUGGAUUCCUUCACCACUAACUAGUCUAAUCUACCAGCUAGCUAGGCUCCUUGUUUUAAUAUUUUUACUUAAGCUAAUAAGCUCCCAUCCACUUAUCUUUUUCCAUUAGUUCAAAAAAAUUAUGCUCUGACAUCAUCCUGACGCUGUGCACACGUCAGCUUCAUUUUUGUUUUCAGGCUAUUAUCAAUUCUUAUUUUCAUCAUGAGAUCGAUAUGUGACGCAUCAUGACGGAUGGGCUUGCUGAUUCUCCACGAAUUGCAUGCGACCCGCACAUCGGAACAUGCAGAGGUUUUGGGUUUGCAGUCCAUGAAGGGUUCCUACCCCGCCCAACCGGGAUUGAGUUUAGUCGUCCGCUACUAGUUAGUUUUUCGACCAUCGAGUCAGUCUAUUUCCUUUCGUCGAUUUUUCGUUUUUUGGGUUUUUGUCGUGUCGUCAUUUGCCGAGCAUAUAGCCGUUUUGAGAUGGUUGCAAUUAGGACGCAAAGGUUUGCUCAUCCGCUAUAACGAUGACGAAUUUUUCCCUUUUGUAGCCUACUUAUGGUUUCACACGAAUAUACGCCAUCGUAGUGAAAAAAUAGUUUAGGGCUAUGCAUGCAUUGUAGUAGAGGAAAAUAUCGUGGGUGAGCUUUGGGCCAAUUUGUGUCGUUCGGGCCCAAUUCAUUUACCAUUGCGGGUCCUUAAUUAGCUCCAGUACCACCGCUUACCUACUAGACCUAAAAUGGUUUGCAUAUAUGGACUUGGGCUGUGACCAAUUUCUGUCUCUCUCCGGUCCCACUUUCUGUCCGCUGUGCUUUGUUCAUCCACGCACCCCGCUGAGUGUAGAGUGUGCUCUCGUCGUCGCCGGUUAGUCUACUAUGAUCACGAUGGAUGUAUCAUACCAGGUCGAUCGGCGCUAAAGUAAAGUUAGGCUGAUCAACCCCUUGACUUGAUCCAUCGGUAACCGUGGGGUUUGCGUUGAAAUGCUGGUCCCUUUCAGGAACUCUGGGACUCGUAUCCGAGCUGAAUGUUUUGAUUAGUGGGUGGUUUUGCCUGCCAGUUUUCCCUUCACAUAGAUGAUUACUGUAAUCGUACAAACUUCAUAUCACAUAUCCGACAGGGACCGUGUUUAGCUUUCCUUCAUUUGACAUUUUCAAUCUUCUUCAUUGAUUGCGUCACCAAUGAUUGCGCCAGCAAUGCAAUUCUCGCGUGCUUCCUAUGAGAGCGAGCUUUUUUUUUUGCCAAUCUUCAAUCCAGAGCUCGUUGAGUUCGAUGGCCCAACCAGAUGCCAUACUGGAAUGGAUUCACAAGGAGAUGGGGUACAGGCCCCUGGGUCCUUACAUUACUUAUUCAACUAGCGAGUCCCAGCUACCUUCCGUCGAUGCGCUCCGGAAGAUUUGUCGCGGGAAUAUGAUUCCGGUUUGGAGUUUCUUGAUCAAUAGAGUGAAAUCAGAGAAGACGGUGAAGAGUAUAAAGAAGAACAUCGCGGUACACGGUGUUGAAGGUGACGGUGACGGGGGGCGGAGUGAAGGAGGUGGUAGGAGGAAGGAGAAGGAGGUAUCUAGUGCGGCUGAGAGUACGGAUUCGGCUUUGCAAGAAAGGGAAUUGGCUGCAAAGGAGAUGGAGAGGUUGAGGAACAUUGUUGGGCGGCAGAGGAAGGAUCUCAAAGCUAGAAUGUUGGAACUCUCUAGGGAAGAGGCCGAGAGAAAGAGAAUGAUCGAAGAACGUUCUAAAAAACAGGUGUGUAUCCGUUUCCAAUUUGACAUGAGAGCUUCACUGAUUUUUUAUGCUUAUAUGAAAAUGGUUUCCACAUUUGAAUGAUUCCCAAGUGUGUAGUUAUUCAUCCUGACGUGAAAUGUUCAAAUGCUAAAGUAGUUACCUACGCUCCCAUCUAGGUGUGGAAUUCCAGAAUGAUAAUGAUUCUGGUAUGAUUAUUAUUGCUGAAAUGUUGUUUACAUAUAUAUAUACAGGGUCUGCACCAUUAGGGUGCAGGAUCACCUCAUUUGUAAUCCCUAUAAAUCAGGGAUUACUCUACCUACUACUUUCUACUAUUAUUCUGCAUAGAUUAGGCUAGAAGAAUCAAAUAAUCCAGCUAACCUACUCUGAUUUCUACGCCUACUCAUACUCUACUAAUUACUGUAAUUCAACACUCCCCCUCAAGCUUGGCUGUAGAUGUUAUGAAGGCCAAGCUUGCCUUGUAAGUCAUCAAACAUAUCCCUAGGCAGUGCCUUAGUAAGAAUAUCUGCGAUCUGCUGCUUCGAUGGAACGUACUCCAUCUCGAAUUCCUUGUUGUUUACCUUCUCAGAAAUGAAAUGACGAUCCAGUUCAACAUGUUUAGUGCGAUCAUGAUGGACUGGAUUUUUCACAAUACUGAGUGCUGCCUGACUAUCACACAGCACUCUAACAGGCCCCUUAUCUUCCAUCUUGAGUUCCUUCAAGAUACGCCUUAACCAAACUCCCUCGCAAAUACCGUCUGCCAGUGCCCUAUACUCUGCUUCAGCACUGCUUCUUGAGACAACAGUCUGUUUCUUACUCCGCCAGGUCACUAAGUUCCCCCACACAUAGGUGCAAUACGCUGAGGUUGACCUUCGAUCUGUAAGGUCUCCAGCCCAACUUGCAUCCGUGUAUAUCGAAAUUCUGCGACUAGGAUGUUUUUGAAUUAGUAGCCCAACACCUGGAGUACUUUUUAAAUAUCUCAAUAUCCUCAUCACUGCCUCCAUAUGUUCUUCAUUUGGAUUGUGCAUAUGUUGGCUCACGAUGCUCACUGGAAAUGAGAUGUCUGGACGUGUGUGUGCUAAAUAUAUUAGCUUGCCUACCAAUUUUUGGUAACUCCCCCUUUCUACUGGCGCUGCUUCUUGGCCAAAACCAAAUUUCAGAUUGUGUUCCAUUGGUGUGCUGGCAGGUUUGCACCCAAUCAUCCCAGUCUCCUUUAACAAGUCUAGGACGUAUUUCCGUUGGGACAAACUCAGUCCCUUACUAGAUCGUGCUACUUCAAUUCCCAGGAAAUACCUCAGAUUUCCUAGGUCUUUUAUCUCAAAUUCCAGUGCCAGCUUCUCCUUGAGCUUUCUGAUUUCUGUUUCAUCAUCCCCUGUGAUGAUAAUGUCAUCAACGUAUACAAUAAGGAUGGCCUUCCUCCCUUCCUGAUUCUGUUUUAUGAACAUCGUGUGAUCUGUUUGGCACUGAUAGUAUCCGUACCCUUUCACUGAUUGUGAGAACCUCUCGAACCAUGCUCGUGGUGACUGCUUGAGGCCAUACAGUGCCUUUCUCAGUCUACACACCAUUCCUGGUUCAGUGGUAACACCUGCUGGAACCUUCAUGUACACCUCCUCACUUAAAUCUCCGUUGAGGAAAGCAUUCUUCACAUCUAGUUGGUAUAGGGGCCAGUCUAGAUUUACUGCAAUGCUUAGGAGAACUCUCACAGUUUUCAACUUGGCUACUGGAGCAAAUGUCUCCUCGUAGUCCACUCCAUAGCACUGUGUAAAUCCUCUGGCUACAAGACGAGCCUUAUACCUCUCAAUCUUCCCUUCUGAGGUAUACUUCACUGUGAAUAUCCACUUGCAGUCGACUGUGGAUUUCCCUGUGGGCAGUCUUACUAUGUCCCAUGUCCUAUUCUUUAGGAGUGCAUUUAUCUCUUCCAGUACUGCUGCCUUCCAGUGGGGUAUACCCAUAGCCUCCUCAAUAGAGUGAGGAAUCUGUGUAUCAUCGAGAGUCCCUACAAACGCCUUGUAUUUCUGGCUUAGGUUUCCAUAUGAAACCCAUCUCUCAAUGGGGUGAGUUGUACACGAUCUAGUCCCUUUCCUGUGUGCAAUUGGAAGGUAGACUGUAUCAUCCACCCCAAUCUCUUCUACACCAGCGUCCUGGAUUUCCUCUUCUGUCUGGUCAUGAUUCCUGACUUCAUCACCAUGUUCAACUCCUUGAUCCAUUUGAUUUGACUCAUCUUCUUGGGAGGUCAGGUUCUCAUCAAAUUCCUGGACAGGUUGAGCAUGUGAGUUGACUGUCGCCUUCUUCCUACGCUGAUAAACCAGGAGAGGAGGGGUUUGGCUGGGUUUUUCUGUGGGAGUGGAUUGGACUACCUCAGGAGAAUCUAGAACAAUUUGAGAGUCGAGAGUAGUAAUACUCCCAAUGGAGGACUCAACCAUAGGAUUCUCCCCCUGAGGCGGACAGUGGGAGUAAUAAGGGAGAUUUUCAAAAAACGUGACAUUUUUUGAGUGAUAGACUUUGUGGUUAUGUGGAGAGUAACACUUGUAACCACUGUGAUGGGACGAAUAUCCAAGAAAGACACAUUUGACUGCUCUAGGAUCAAGUUUAGUACGAAGUGAUGGAUCUAGGUGAACAAACACUGUACAGCCAAAUAUUCUAAGAGGGAGGUCAGACGAUAGAGCAUGACUAUGAGGAAAGGUUUUUAAGAGAACACUACGAGGAGUUUUAAAACGUAGGGUUCGAUUUGGGAGACGAUUGGUAAGAUAAGUGGCUGUGAGGACAGCAUCACCCCAUAAGUUCUUUGGAGCCUUGGCAGCAAACAGUGAUGCCCUCGCAACCUCUAGCAAGUGACGGUUUUUGCGUUCAGCAACUCCGUUCUGCUGAGGGGUGUAAGGGCAUGAGCUGCUGUGAGCAAUGCCAUUAGCCGUUAGGAAGGAACUUAAGGAUUGAUUGAAAUAGUCCUUUGCAUUAUCAGUGUGAAGUACUCGAAUAGGAGUUUGAAACUGGGUUUUGACCUGAUUUAGGAAGUUUUGAAAUAUAUCCUUUGUUUCAGUCUUUGAUUUCAUGAGAUAAGUCCAUGUUAAACGGGUGUGGUCAUCAAUAAAGGUGAUGAACCAUUUAGACCCACUAACCGUUUUUACAGAACACGGACCCCAAAUAUCGCUGUGAAUGAUGGAAAAAGGAUGUGUUGGCUUAUAUGGUAGGCUAUGGUAGAUGACUCUUGUCUGUUUUGCAAGUUGACAGACCUCACAAUAAAAAGAAUUCGGAUUUUUAUUGAUAAACAGCUUAGGAAACAGUUUUUUAAGGUAAGAGAAACUAGAGUGGCCUAACCGGUAGUGCCACAUCAUGACAGGGCAAUCUAACUGGCUUGUCCUAGAACUUAGGUGUACUGAUUUGGAACCCUCUCCCCCUGGUCUGGAUCCGCUUGUUGUACUCAGAAGGAACAGUCCGUCACACAGCUCAAACCUGCCAAUCAUCUUCUGAGAUCCCACCUCCUGCAAUAUACAUUGUGAUGGAUCACAUGUUAGACGGCAGUUAAGAUCUUGUGUGAUCUGACUAACAGAGAUUAGGUUACAAUUCAGCUUAGGCACAUAUAGGACAGGGAACACAGCCUGAUUUGGAGUCAGGUAGGCUGUCCCAAUCCCUUCGACUGGAGCAAUUGUUCCAUCAGCGAUACGGACUCCUGCUUUCCCUACGUGAGCCUGGAUAUUGUGGAGCAGCUGUCUAGAACCCGUCAUGUGUUCAGUAGCACCAGUAUCCAAAAUCCAGUGUUGAUUAAAAUGACUUUGAGUAAGGAAAGCAGUGGAUCUAAUACCUUGGCUAGCAAACAGGCUGUGGUGAGUUUCAGAGGGUCCUGCAGAUGCUUUCUUAGCAGUAUACUGUGCCAUCAUCUGCUGGAGAAUCUCCAUCUGUUCUCUAGUGAUUUGACCAAACUGUUGAACUUGGUCAGCUGCAGCAGCCUGUGCAUAAGCCUCUCUUUCUGCCUUAGGUUUCCAGUCCGUAGGCUUCCCAUGUAACUUCCAGCAUGUUUCCUUAGUGUGUCCCAGCUUGUUACAGUGCGUACACUGAGGUCUAAGCUUUCCAGACUUGGUGUACGCACUUCCUUGAUUUCCAGUAUACUGAGUAGCAAGGGCAGAUCCUUCUACUGAGGUGUUUUUUGAGUCGGGAAUCAUGAGCUUUCUCCUGCUCUCUUCCCACUUGAUUUCAGCAAACGCCUCUCUUACUGAAGGAAGGGGAAGACGGCCCAUAAUCCUUCCUUUCGCCUCAUCUAGAGCCUGAUUUAGGCCAAGAAGGAACCUGAUGGUUCGCUUUGUCUGGAGAAUCUGCCUGUAGAGGUCUGCAUCUUCCGUGCACUUCCAUAGAUGGAUGUCGUAUAGGUCCUGCUGUAACCAGCAUUUACUCAGUUCGUCAUAAUACUGAGUGACGGAUUUCUCCCCCUGCUUGAGAUCAUGGAGACGCAUCUCCACCUCGAAGGCCUCUGCUUUGUUGGCCUGAUUGGAGUAGGUGUGUCUCGCUCCUUCCCAGAUCUCAUGAGCAGUUUGGUGGAGAAGGAACUUCUCGCCAAUGGUCGUGGUCAUUGAGUUCAGGAGCCAUGACUGAACCAUGUUAUCCUCAAUGUCCCAGUUGGCGAACUCUGGAUCCUCUUCAGCUGGCUGUUCUGUCUUCCCAGUCAGGUACCCUUUCUUUC
Molecule: long non-coding RNA, 66599 nt
Filed under: Linum usitatissimum (flax)
Lineage: Eukaryota; Viridiplantae; Streptophyta; Magnoliopsida; Malpighiales; Linaceae
Description: long non-coding RNA (LUSI_LNC008117)
Source: RNAcentral